Molecule: long non-coding RNA, 48304 nt
Filed under: Cucumis sativus (cucumber)
Lineage: Eukaryota; Viridiplantae; Streptophyta; Magnoliopsida; Cucurbitales; Cucurbitaceae
Description: long non-coding RNA (CSAT_LNC003006)
Source: RNAcentral
UUCCACUUCCACUGGUGAGUUUCUUGAAGUAGAAGAUGCUUUCCUUUCUCUCAUUUUUUUAUUAAGUGAAAAAGAGAGGAAAUGAUCAUUAUGCCCUCUUCUUAAAACUCAACAUUAAUUUUUCCAUUUGCUUAAUUUUUCCAUAAGAAUGAUUCAAUCUUUAGAGAAUUUUAAAGAAAGGAUUCAAUUUUGUCUUUCGCAAUUGAGGAAAUAUUAAUAUAAUAAAAGGAAAAUUGAAUUAGAGCUUACACCCCAACCCCUCCAUUCUUCGAUUUACUUUAAACUACACAUGGGAGCAAGGUCGGGAGCCCCUUUAUUGGACUUUUGGUGAUGAUAUUUGAAAUGAGUUAAUGUAGAGAUUGUGUCCGCUAUCUUCACCUACAAAUUUUUAAAAAUCGACAAGUGAAAAUUUAAAGUGAAUAAAAGUAUUAAAAAUGAAUGUAAAGAUCACAAACCAAUAGGAUGGUCAAGGUCGGUUGGUUCAGGUUGUCACAAAGAUCUUUAAAAAAUGUGAUCCAAUUUUGGUAGUAGUCUUGUGAUUCUACCUUUGAUGCAGAAUCAGAUUCUCCGUGAAACCAUACAAACCAUGAAGGUGGCCCCUAGACUCCAAAGAAGCAUUGAUUCGUUCGAUCAAGCUUGUAUACCUACCAGUCCUUUAAAUCCCAACCUUUGGCUAGCUUUCGUAAGGAGAUGAUUUGCAAAAUUCAUUCCAGUAAUAACAAUAAUAGUAGUAACAAUAAUAGCGUAACAAUAACGAUAGUAAUAACAACAGUAGUAAUAAGAAGAAGAAGACGAACAACUCAGUCUCUAAAAACUGGUUUUGUACCUACAAGAAGUGACAUAGAAGAUUGAUUAAAUAUUUACAUGUAAAAUAAUAACACAUAUGCAAAGUUGUAGGAUCAGGUUCUGUUUCUCUAUAAUUCAAGUAUGGAUUAGUGAAGCUCAUCAGAAAUGUGAGGCAUGUUUCUAGCUAAUUUGAACAAGAAUCUAAUCAGCUCUUUGUUUUUUUUUUUAUCAAAGAGUUUAAAUAAAAAUGAUUUCUUUUACAAAAAGUAAAAUGAAAUCCAAAGGGUCAUAAGUUAUUUUAAUUUUGACUUAUUAUUUGAAUUAGACAACCUCUAGAUCAAGUCAAUAAUUCUUAUUUAACUAAAAUUAAUUAUUAAAAAGUUCAAACAUGAUAUCUUACCAAGUUUAAAGUUGAGAUUUUUAGUUCAAAUUGUGUGGGGAUUUGAUUAACACAAAGUAGUUUGAGACCCUCAAGUAAUUUCUAGACCACCAUCAUGGUGCAGUAUAUGCAUAUUAGAAUAAAUGAAUCACUCUAAAUAUUAUAUAUUUUACUAUAUAUGAUAAAGAUGGAUUCUUACUAGCUUAAACUUAUAUUUUUAUUGAUUGAAUUAAAGAAAUCUGCAUACAAAGUUGACUUCCUAAUUAUUACAUGAAAACACACUAAACAAAGUGAGGUUUGAGACCAAGUUUGAGUUCAAAGUUGAGCGGUCAUCUGUUUGAAAAUGAAUUGUUGAUAAUAUAAAAAUGAACUAUGAAGUAAAUUAAAAUUUCCUUAAAAGACUUUGAGCUUCAAAUGACGCAUUUGAUUUCUGAGAAAGUAACUUCAAAAUCUUUGAAAACAAAUUAAGUAUUUUUUCAAAAAAUUAUCCUUCCAAAAUAAAAUUUUGGAUAAACUUUUCAAUAGUCAGAAAAUUAAAAUGAAUCGAAAUUAAGACAAACUAAUGAAGACUUGCAGGCUCAGUAUAUAUCAGCAAUAAAAUGCACUAGAUGCUUGUUAAAACUUUGCAGUUUUCUUUUAAUUACAAAUAGGAAACGAACGCGAUAUAAGGUGCAUAUGGAUUACUCUGUUAUGAGGCUGUUCCUUUAGCACCAUACUAUCCCGAAAUAUAAUUGAAUAUAAAGUAUUACAUGUUGAUAUAACCAAGGGGGCAAGUAUUAAGCCCCACCCAGUACAUAUUGAUUUAGUUGAUAUGUAGUCUUUGAAAAGAGUGUGUAUGCUGGAUCAUAAGCCUAUCAAAUUGCAUAUGUUCUUCCAAGAGUUGGUGUUGCUGUUCUGUUUGUUGUUGAAAACUUUUGCAGUUAAUUGUGGUUAAACCAUUGCUACAAAAGUCUACCCCUAAAACAACUAAACUUAGACUAGCUAGCUUAAGUAUUCAUGAACCAUUGAUGCAUAAAUAUUUAAAUAAUUUCAAUUCCUUGAUUAGAUUUGUUUUAAUAAGUGAUAGAUUAAUGUUUAGAUCAACAAUUUCUUUUUUAAAAAAAUCAAAAUUAUUAUUGAGAUAUUUUCAAAUGUAACCUAAACGAACCAAAAUAUUAUUACUAAAUACUAAUAAACUUUUAUGCUAAUUCUAAAUAUUAUUUCAACUGUUGAUCUAUUAAAAUCAAUAAACUAAAAUUUUAGGCCAUACACAGCACGAGAAUCAGUCUUAAUCAGUAGAGAUUUCCAUCAAAGAUUUAUUUAUUUAUUUUUGUUAAGAGUAAAUAAGGUUUAAAAUAUACAGGUGGUCAAAAAAAUAUUUUACAUAAAUAUAAAUAUAACAGAAAUAUGAAUAAAAUGGAGAUGUGGAUAGAAAUUUUAGAAAAAGAAUUAUUAAGAAAACAUAUAUGUAAAUUAGUAAGCAUUCAUUUUAGAAUUCUUAAACAAUGUGAUAUGUAUAUUAUUUACACUAUUAUUCAAUUCAACAUUUUGGUCCAUCUCAAAUUAAUAUCAAUGUGAAAAUAUGAAUAAAAGUAUUAAGAUAUCAUACUAAAGUUGUUUGAGAUUGUUAUACCCUCGUCACAAACUACCUUCUUCAAAUAAUUCCAAAACAAUCUUAGUUUAAUAAUAUAACAUAUAAUAUUAAAAUGUAAAUUUCCCUCCAUAUAAGGAACUAGAAACUUUAUUUCCAAGAAAAUAAAAAAGACCAAAAUAUGGGUUGUUCAACACCCAGUAGUCUAGUUUGUGUUAUUUUUGUAAUGUCCACUGUUCUCAGCAUGCGACCAGCAAUCACUGUAAGCUCCGUCAACCUUUCUCCUCGGUUGUCGCCGCCACUGCCACCUCUACCAGCACGAAUCUCAGGGGAAGCUCUUUGAAUCGGUUCGACUGUGUAAAAGUUAGGUCCAAGCUUCAUGUUGGUUCUUUAGGCAAAAAUGGAGAUGGUGAAUUUAAAUUACCAUUAUUAUCGAAGCUACUUCUUAUGCCAAGACUUCCUUGGCCAAGACGAUACGCUCCUAAAUCACCACCGCCUCCAUUCUAGCAAGGGAAGUCUAUGUGCUUCACUUUAAUUUCAAAGAGAAUACCUAGACUCUAAACCAUUACAAAAAAGGUUGCAAAGAGUUCUUGUCUUCUCUCUCGUUUCAAAGUACAAUGUAUUGUGUUACUAUAUAUUUCAUUAUUCAAAUAAAAUCUCUUUUGUGGGUACAAGAAGAUAGUUUCAGGUUGAACUUUAGGGUUGUAUCUCUCUCUAUAUAUAUAUUUAGUAUCUAAAGUAUUUAAUUGAUGUUUGGACUUAUUUUAUUUUUUGUCUAGCUAACAUGCUUAGAUCCAAUUAUGAUGAGGGUGCUAUGAAUGUGUCAACCUAGAUAUUCAUCAUGCACCUCCUAAUUCCAAUAAUGUGCUUUAAUAUUUUAUCAAGAAAACAUAGGUCUAAACUUUUAAUUUGGUAUUAUAUCAUUCCUGAAAUAUUAAAUUUUAAAAGAUAAUUGAUAACAUAUUUUGAGAAAGAUGGUAAGAACGAAUAAAUAGGUAGGUUCAAAUAUACUAUCCUCAGGUAACAUCCUUCUACAUAACAACAUCUCAAAUUAUCCCCAACUAAGAUAAGAUCACCAAGAGCAUCUUCACACUUCAAAACUAUAAAUGGAUAUGAGGCCUUUGAAAAACAUCGUGUGACUUUAAAAUUAUAUGCAAAAUGAAAAGCUAUGCUAUAAAAUACAUUGAAUUUUGUUGUGCGCUUCCAUUUUUCCAUGGUGGAUCAAUCACAAUAAGACUAAAGCAAGAACUAGCUUUAGCUCAAUAGCAACCAAAAAUACAAUCAUACAUUUCCAAUGAGAAAAGAUAACACAAAGUUUUCAUGAGUGGUGUGUGGGUGUUUAUAUAUAUAAAACUAUUAUUUCUUCCAAAACCAACAUUUUUUUAUAUGAGAAAUAUAUAUAUAUCAACAAGAAGAGAGUAACCUAAGGGUGAGGGGUUGUUAAUUUGGAAAUUUGUUUGAAGAUAGUUUUUGAGAAAAUGGAAAGAGGCCUAUUAUCAUCCUAGUUUGUAUUGUGUAAUAUUAGUGCACCACGACUAAACUAUUUAAGAAAAUGUUUUCUAGAGAAGUUCUUAUUAAAAAAAGUGGUUCAGACAACAUUUUGGUAAUUGAAUUUUGGAAAAAACGGAAUAACAUCUAAGAAAACUAAACUAUGUUUGAGAAAAUAUAUUGAAAAAAAAUUGAAGUGAAAAAAGUUUAAGAAAAUGUCCUUUUAGGGUGUGUUUAGAGUGAUAGUUGGAAGUUAGUGAUUUUAGAAGAAAAAAAAUUCAGUUACAAUUGAUUUAAGUCAAUUUUUUACUCGUUUCCAAACUUUUAAAAAUGAUUUUCAAAUAUUUAAAUUGAUUUUCGCCAUGUGUUGGUCAACAAAAUUUCAUAUUUUAUUAAUGAUAGAUAGUGUUAAACUUUUAUAAUUCUAUCAAUAUUACCGACUAUUAAUGUUUAUCAUUGAUAAAAUCUAACAUUUUGUAAAUAUUUAGUUCAUUUUAUCAUAUUUGAAAUAUACAUUGAUAAUUUUGUUGAGAAGUCUAGAGAAUGUAACUUUACAAAACUUACAAAGACGAAAUAAAUUUUUACUCAACUUUUUUUACAAAAAAAAACGAUAGUAAGCUUUGGAUAAUUAGUAUGGUCUAAUACGUACUGAUUUUAGUAUAAGCUAUGAACUAAAUUAAAGGCAACCCUAAACGCAAGCAUUUAUCAAGCAAAUUAUUUAAUAUCUUUAAAUUAAAGUAUCCAUAUACCUUUUUUAGAAAAGUAUAAAUGUAAGAAAUAAAUUGUACAUGUUUAAAGGAAAUAUCCAAAUUUAAUUUUAAUUUUGUUAGAUUAGUAUGAAAAUACCCACAUUUUGAAAAAACAACGAACACUAACAUUUUAUUUAUUACGCAAAGCAAAAUCCAAUGCUAAAUUUUGCAUAGAGUUCAUUUGUAUCCAUCGGAAUUGAUGACACACCAAAAAAACGAUUUCAAGCCACAAUGCGAUUUUUUAUGAAAAUACAAAAUUUUGCGUAUUGUUUAAAAUUGUACCCUUGUGUUGUAAAUAAUAGAGAAUUUAACGUUAAGCACAAUGUUUUCAUCAUUGUUCAUUUUAUAAAUAUAAUUCAGGUCAUUAUUUGACAUCAGCACACAAAUGUCAAGAUGUCUCAUUCUUUUUUUUUUUUUCUGGCUGACCUUGCCAACUCACACCUAUCUUAUAUUUUACAAGUACUAAUAGGAAACUACCGUAUUAGAAUAAAAGGUAGGCGGGAGAGAGAUUUGCCAAAAAGAACCUUAGUUUGUAUCUUCACAAUGGGCUGUUCAACUGCCAAUAUUGUUAUUUUAACUAUUUUUGUAGCAUCCAUAGCUCUUAGGCUACCAACGGAAACCACCGCAAGAGCCAUUGCCGACCCUUAUCCUCUCUCAUGGCCGCGGUUGCUGAUAUACAAUACGGUGAUGAAAGUCAGGCUUAAUGAUGAAGCAGGGUCAGGAGAGGGAAGUGGAGAUGAUGAAUCUGAUCCACCAUUGAAGGAAGAAAAGGGGAGCAGAAAACCUUGGCCGAAGAACCCUGUCUCUAAAUCUCCACCACCACCAUUUUAGGAGGACAAAGUGAGUUUUUUCACACUUUAGCUUCCAAAAAACACACCCUAGCUCUUUUUAUUUUCUUUUAUUGUAACUACAGCUUAUUUAGUGCUAGUAUGAAUUAUACGUGAUAUGAAUUUUAACCUCAGAAGUUUGAUUUUAGCAUCACACGUCUUGUUAAAAAAAAUCCCUUAAUACCACAUCUUUUAGUCUUAUGUUGUAACCUUAAUACAACAUCCUUUUAUAUCUUAUAUUGUAACGUGUUCAUUGUAACUUAAUGCGAUGGUCAUCUCUACCACGAUGUAUACAUUUUGGUGAGAAAAUGUAAUUUUUUCAACGAACAUAUUGUAAUAGAUGGUCAUCACAAUCACAUGACAACUACAAUAGAUAGGGUUAGGGUCAUCUCAUAGGGUUGUAUAAAUGCAAUCCUGAAGUAUUACUAAGGCUAAGUCGGACAUUAAAUUUCAUACAUGUGUGAAAGACAGAUCAUUAAUCAUACAUAUACAACACAUCUUGUGAAAAGGGUCAUCCAUACAAAAGAAAAAAUCUUCAAUAAGCAAAUAGUCUCUAGAAUUUAGAGAAAUUACAAAGGUAUGAGUUGAGAGACUCAUCUCGGUUUGAAAAAAUUAACUAUAUAUAUAUCUUCAUGCAUGCAAUGUAUGUUUAGUUCGACUUAUUAAUUAAAAAACUAUCAACUGUUUAGAAAAUAUUAUAAUAUAUAAUAAAAUUUCAAAUUCUACUAACAAUAGUGUUAUUAGUAGACAUUGAUAAACUAUUAAUAUCGCUAAAUGUUGAAAAUUACAAAAUAUUGAAGGUUUUUAAUUUAAUAGCAAGGUAUCUCUUUUAAAUAUGUGUAUAAGGUGUAUCAAAUGUAAAUCACGUGCAUCAUGUAUAUCAGGUGAAUCAAAUAUAUCAGAUGAAUGAAGCGCAUGUGUAUCAAUUAUAUUAAGUGCAUCAAGCAUAUAUGAAGUGAUUGAAUGUAUUUGCAAGAUGGAAAAAGAGUGACAAGCAUGCAAAUCCCUAAACUCAAACCGUCACUCCCUGCCAUUUUCUUUUUUAAAUAUUUUAGUUUUGUUUGAGUAUGCGUGACAAUAUAGACAUGAUCCAUUUAUAUAAUAUUGUUCAAUUUCAUAUUAUAUACUUGCUUAAUGACAUUUGGGUAAAAAAAACGAAAUUAAUAUGACAUUUUUGUAAUUAAAUAAGUUAAUCUUUAUCAGCUUGAGGGUAAAAAAAAUGUUACACAAUUUUAGAGGGUCUUUCAAAUGUUCCACAUUUUUAAGAGGGUCUUUAAAGGUAAGAAAUAAGUUACUAUCACCCUGGUCAGUAUUAGUUUGGUUAUAAUAGUUUAUGUUAUAAGAGCGUAAAUUGUUUUCGUUUGGAUUAUAAUAAUAUGUAUUUAUAGUUUAUAUAUAUUUAUACAAUUAUUUUCUUUCCAAAUUCGGUAACAAAAAUUCAAAAUGAACCUAAUCAGCUCAUUGGUUUUUUUUAUCAACGAGUUUAAAUAUUUCUAAAAUAGUUAUUUAAAAUACUUUAAAGAGAAGAAAAACAUUUUACAAAGAAUUUAAUGGUUUUUUCAAUAAUAUAAAAAAUCGGUAAAAUACUUAUACUAUAUAGAAAAUUUUGAAAAAAGAAAAAGCCUACGGAUCCACAUUGUUAAAUACCAAAAUUACUCCAGUCAACAUGCGAUUAAUCGGCCACACAUGCACGAGUAAUAUUCUUCUAAAUGAUCAUGUACUACAAUCUAAACGAUGGUUUAAGAUACACAAUCAUGUAGUUCAUUUUAAAUGAUGGAAAAAAAGCUUCAAGUUUAAAUGAUUAGAUAAUAAACUCUAAACGAUGACGAUAAAUAUUUAGACAUAAACGAUUGUAUAAUAUAAUCUAAACGAUCGUCAGAUUCGUAUACACGAUCAUUUAUGUCACAAAUGCAAAGAUAGACGAUCGUGUAAUGAAAUAAUAUACUUUAAACGAUCGUGUUGAUCAUGGCAAGCGAUCGUGUGUGUUAGUUAUGGUAAGUGAUUGUGUAGUCCAAUGUAUAUGGUCGUGAAAAACUUCAAAUCUAACGAUCAUAUAUAAUACAAAUAUAGAUGAUCGUUUAGAUUUGGGUGCAGAUUUAGAAAAGCUUUAGAUGAUAUUUAAAUGAUCUUGAUAUGCUCGAAGAUGAAGAAGAAUAUUGAAACAUUCGUGAAAUAACUUCAAAGCAACUUGUCGAAAAUGAUGAAGAUGAAAUAGGAGAGUUAAACGAUCAGAUCACUUACUCUAAAUGUCAAAGAAAGAAAUAUGAAAAAGGAGAUGAAUUAAUUGCAAUCAAGAUGGAUAAAUCGCAAAGAAGAAGAAACGAAGAAGUACACCCAUCUUGUCGUGCAAUAUUCAAAACCAAAAAGACAUGUAUAUAUAUAGAAUUUAUUAAAAAUACAAUCAUACUCGAUGAGUUUUUUUUUUUUUUUUUAAUUUUGUUUACGAGCCCUAAAUAUUUAGGGGUUUAAUUACAUUUAUGUAAAUUAACCCUCGGUUUAAAAAAGAAUGGUUUUUUUUUUUUUUUUUUUUUUUUAAAAAGAAGUAGAAUCUAAGGGUCAUAAGUUAUUUUAAUUUUGACUUAUUAUUUGUAAUAGACAACCUAUAGAUCGAGUCAAUAAUUCUUAUUUAACUAAAAUUAAUUAUAAGAAAAAAUACAAACAUGAUAUCUUACCGAGUUUAAAGUUGAGAUUUUUAUAGUACAAAUUAGGUGGAGAUUUGAUUAACACAAAAUAGUUUGAGACUCACAAGUAAUUUCUAGACCAUCAUCAUGGUGUUGUAGUAUAUGCAUAUUAUAAUAAAUGAAUCACUCUAGAUAUUAUAUAUUUUACUAUAUAUAUGACAAAGAUGGAUUUUUACUAGCUUAAACUUAUAUUUUUAUUGAUUGAAUUAAAGAAAUUUCAUAUACAAAGUUGACUUCCUAAUUAAAAGAAAAAUAGUUAUAUGAAAACAAACUAAAGGAAGUGAUGUUUGAGACCAAGUUUGAGUUCUAAGUUGAGUGGGUCAUCUGUUUGAAAAUGAAUUGUUGAUAAUAUAAAAAUGAACUAUGAAGUAAAUUAAAAUUUCCUUAAAAGACUUUUAGCUUCAAAUGACGCAUUUGGAUUUCUGAGAAAGUAACUUCAAAAUCUUUGAAAACAAAUUAUCUUUUCCAAAAUUCAUCCUUUUAAAAUAAAAUUUUGGACAAUUUUUUCCAAUGGUAAGAAAAAUAAAAUGAAUCGGAAUUAAGACUAAGUAAGACUUGGGGGUGCGAUUAUAUAAGCAUUAAAAUGCACCAUAUACCUAUUAGAACUUUGCAUUUAAUGGUGGUUAAACCAUUGUUAUAAGUUUAACCUAAAACAACUUAUCUUACACUAUCUAGCUUGAGUAUUCACAAACCAAUUGAUGCAUAAAUAUUUAAAUCAUUUGAAUUUGUUUUAUUAUACUUGUUUUCAAGUGGUAGACUAAUGUUUAUAUGAGAGUUUUUAAAAAAAAUGUAAAAAUCAUUAUUUGUGUAUUUUUAAAUGUAACAAAAAAUGAACUAAAAUAUUUAUAAAAUGUGACAAAAUUUCAUAUUUAAUCAUCGAUAGAUACAAAUAAACUUUUAUCAACAUUUAUCAAUGAUAAAAUAUGAAUAUUGGUAUAUUUUGUAAUUAUUUUCAACCGUUUUUCUAUUCAAAUAAAUAAACUAAAAUUUUAUGCAUCAUACACACACGACACAAGGAGAAGAGAGAAUUGAACGACACUAAUUGUCGUCUGAUGUUGUGUUGGUCACCGCUUUGUGAAUCUCAAAUGGCGCAAGGUCGGGGGGUGAGGCGUCGGUUGGAUGAGAUAGGGAGCCGGUGAACAUGAGGAAGAGGGGUCGGUGAAAGGAAGGAAAAUCGUGAGAGGGGGCAUGUCUCUAGCACAAUGGAGAAGAAAAAGUUAUAUUAUUUUUUUAAAAGGAAAAAAGACCCAAUGCCCUAAACUUAACAAAGUGUUGUGGCCAGGAGCAACGUUGAGACUGAAUACCGAGCUAUGAGUUUGGAAAUAUUUAAGAAAAUUUGGCUCUAGAAAGUCCUGUUUGAUCUUCAUCAAGAAUGUGAGAUGUCAUUGAAGCUUUUUUGUGAUAAUAAAGCCACUAUUAACUUUGCUAACAAUACCACUCAACAUGAUAAAAGUACACAUGUUGAGAUUAAUUGACAUUUCAUUAAAGAAAUACUUGACAGUGGGAGCAUAUACAUUUCAUAUAUCCGAGCCAAUAGGUUGCUGUUGUUCUCACCAAGGGGAUUCUCAUACCAAACUUCGGCUUUUGUGUUAGCAAGCUAAAACUCAUUGAUAUUUAUGUCCCUACUUGAGAGGGAGUGUUAGAAUUAGUGGGCUUGACCUUUAUGAUAUUUAUGGAAAGAUUAGGAAAAGAUUUACUCUAAUUCCUAAAUCUUUUCCUUUUUUAUUCGUUGUAUUCUAUUUAUUCUCCAUCUUUCUAACUAUUUUUGUAACGUCCCAAAAAUUAAAAUAAUUUUUAGAGAUAACUAUCUUAGUUUUGUUUAAUUAGAUUUAAUUUGUUAGGCGUUAUUUUGAUUUCACAUCAUGAGAAUUUUUUGAAUUUAUGGACAUUAGAAUUAUUUUGAUAUUUGUUGGGUGAUAUUUAAUUAAUUAAAGGAUUUGAAUUUGUGGUGCUUGUUGAGAAUUUUGAUUUAUUGUAUGUUACGAUGUUUAAGUAAAAUUGUGGAAAUUAUUUAGUUCCAUGAAAAUUGAAAUUUAAUUAAAUAAUUUGGAUGUUAUUUAAUUCAAUUUAUUAUUGAAUUUUGGUUAAAGAUUAGGUAAUUAUACGUAUAUGUGGUUACAUAUAUAAUGAAAAAAAGAAGAUAAUUAUAUUUAUUUCAAAGAAAAUAUUAGAUUUUUGGAAAGAAGAUAAAGAUAAUUUAUUUGGAAAAGGAUAAUUAUUUGAAGGAAAGAUACCUGUAGAGAGACAAAAAAAAAUAUAUAUGUAUAUAAUUAUAUUGUGGGAAAACAUAAGGAUUGUAAAAGAGAUAAUUAUUUUGGUAAAAAGAUAAUUAUUUUAUGAGAAUGGAGAGUUGGAUGGAGAAUUAAUGAAGAGAGAAGAUUUGAUUUUGGAAAGAAUUCAAAAGGAAAAAGGAAAUUGAAAAGGGACAUUUUUUAAAAUAGCAAAAUAAAUUAAAAUAUUUACAAGCUAUAGUAAAAUUUUGGACUUUAUCACUGAUAGUCUUCUAUCACUAUAACAUAUUAAUUACUAUCACUAUAACAUAUCAAUUACUAUCAGUGAUAAAAUUUGUUAUAGAUUGUAAAUAUUUUGUAAAAUCUACUAUUUUUAAAAAGAAACUCUCAUCUUCUCCAUUUGACCCAGUCGUCACUGUUAUCGUGCAUCUUCGACCGCCGCGAAUCCUCAACCCAACUCCUCCGGAUGACGAUAUCCGUCCAAUGAAGCCCAUGAAUGCAUCCCAUUGUUUUUGUCUGAGCUGUCUUCAGUCGCGUCAACGAAUUCAAGCCACCAUGUGCAAAGUUCUCUGUUUGUUUGUCGGCCACGCCUCCUUUAAUUCGUCCCUUUAGUCCUAGCCUCUUUCUUCGUUCGUGGGCUGAGCUCUUUCAUGCCAAUAGAGAUGUGAGCCAAUCUGUUUUCGUUCGGCGAAGACCUUGCAAGUCCAAGCCGUGUGCGUUCUAUCCUAAACCGUGAGCCUUUCCCUGUAACCCGAGUUGCGUAAGCCACUUUCUCCUUAAGUCAAGUCACCUCAUUCUUUCUUUUGUUUAUCCAAGCCAAGCGCCCUCUCAUAGGCCAGUUAAGCUAUUUUGGUAUUUUUUGUGAGUUUUUUUAUUGGAUUUUGGAUAUAUCCAUCAAGUGGUAAAUUUUGGUUCUAAGUAUUUUAGUUUUGAUUCUUCCUUCAAGGUUCAUUUGGCUGAUAUUUUUGAAAAAGCAAUUAGUGGAAGUUUCUCAAUAAGGUUGAAAUGGUUUCAACCUCAACUUUGGGUAAGUUGAUUAAUUAGAGAAUCUUGGAGACCAUAUCCAACUGUUAAUAUUUAUUAAUUAAGAUAUUUGUUGUUUCCUUACGGUUUAGGAUCUGGUUUAAUUGAAAAUUGAUUGUCAGGAAAGGAUUAUAUUUUUAGUUAAUCUUGAGGUAAAAGAUUCUACUAUUAUGCCUUUGAACUUAAAAUUAAGAGCUUGCAUGUAUUUUCCAUUAUGCAUUUAUGUAGCUAAGAUGCAUAAUGUUGAUGACUGUUAUGGAUAACUGAUAUGAUUGUGAUAUGCUUAUGAUAUUUAUGAUACAUGAUAUAUUAAUCACAUUAUUAAGGACAUUAUGAUUAAUAUUCAUGUCAUGUUUAUGAUGUUUAUGAUGAUGCUACAUGCAGAUUUAUGACUGUGUGAGUUUGAUAGGACCACCAGUCUAUCAUGUUUAUGUUUAUGAGUGGUUCGACGGGAUCACUACAGCUCAAUAUCAUAAGUGUUCCUUCGGGUCACCGAUAGAUAAGAGUGUUCCUUCAGGAUCACUAAAUUGCUUAUGUUCUAUCAGACACAUAAUAGUUAUAGCCGGAUAUCAUAGGUGUUUCUUUUGAUUCACCGGCAGAAUGAGAGUGAUCCCUUGGGAUCACUAGAUUGAGUGUGUUCCAUUGGGCAAGAGAUAGUUUUGGGUAUCUCCUCACAGAAUCUUAAUAAAAAGUUAACAGACACUUAGCGAGAUUAAUAGUAGGUCCCUUACUGGGUAUAUUUUAUAUACUCACUCUUUCUCUAUAUUUAAUAUUUUAGACAAAGGUAAAGGAUCUGAAAAACUGGCGAGCGAUAGGAAGGAUUCGUGACAUGCCAUAUGGGGACACAGUUCUGUUUCUGUGUUUAUGUAUCACUUUUUCAAUAUUUUAUUUUUAGACAUUCUUAAUUAAAUUUUUAUGCUAUUUAUUUACAUUUAUUUUUUUAAAAGAAUUGUUACUUGUGUGGUUCAUUUAUUUAAUAUAAAUUUUGUUAAAAUUUUAAUUUUCUCUUUUCAUGAAAAUGUCUUUUUCUAUUAACUUUUUGAUUAACGAACUCGGUUUAAUAUAAAGAGUUGGGUUGUUACAAUUUUAUUUAUUCAUCAUAAAAUAAUAAAAUAACAUAUCGUAGUUUUUCUCUUGGUAUUCAAAUUUCGACGUAAGAGACUUGGUUUCAUACCAAUGAGGUUGUCAAUUCAUUUUCAUAUGAGAAAGGAAGAGAUUGUUAAAAAAUACCCUUGAUACUGUCAAAGACUUGUGGACACUAUUAAUUUAAGUUGAGAAAAAUUAAACAAAUGACAUCAUUUGACCAAGUUUAAAACAGAUCAAAUAAAUAUAAUUUGCCAAUAAGAGAGUUAUAUGUAGAUCAUGUCAACAUCCAUUACUCGUCUUUUCUUUUCUUUUAAAUAUUUUAGGUUUGCUAGCUCUUCAUUUUCAUCGUCUUUCUUCUCUUUCUCUGCUACAAUUUUUUUCUUCCAUCGUCUUUUUUUCUUUUUCUUUUAUUUUUUCUAAACGGUUGUUUGGUUCAAGAUUGUGUAUUAAUUAUAAAAUAUUUAUAUUUUUCAAAUUAUUGUUUGGUUCUUUAACAUCCUAUACCAAAUAUAAAAUAUCUUGAAAAAGAUUGUUUGGGAUAUUAGAUAGCCAAAUCUAAACCAUCAUAACAAAUAAUCUUAAAAAUCUUUACGAAUGUGUUCCAGUAUUCCAAAUCUAAACGAUCGUCCAAAAAAAUCUUGAAAAUAUUUGUUGAGAUUAGGCUACCCAACUCUUAUCGAUAAAAUCUGAACGAUCGUGUACCAAAUAUAAACGAUUGUGUACCAAAAAAAGUUUGAAAAAAAAAAAUCAUUGGGUACCCAUCAAAUUAAACGAUAGUGUAUAAAUGAUUGUGUACCAAAAAAGUUUUGAAACAUCGUUUAGAUUUGACCACCCAAAUUUAAACGAUGAUCCUGUACCAAAGGGAAACCAAAUCUAAACGAUCAAAUAUAAGCUAUCGUGUAAGAAAUAAUAGUUUGGAUGUCAAUUAAUUAUCACGAAACAUUUUUAGUAUUUUUCAUCGUAGACUUGUAACUUCAUUUUGUUUUCGAAAUUGUUAAAUAUUUGGUCGUUCUAUUAUAUGUUUUUUAAAAGACCCCAUUUAAAUGUGUCAAUCAAAUAGUAAACUCAUAAUUUAAUGUCAAUCACAUCUGAAAGAAUAUAGCAUGAAAAAACAAAAACAAUUUUGCCAGGUAUUAAAACCAAAUGCUAUUUAAUUCAGAGUCAGAAAACACUUAACAAAAACUUCCGAUGGCAGCACAUUCGUUUUUGCCAUUUUGGUCGUGGCUGUAAUUUCUCCAACCUCACCUUGGAGAGCCUCCGCCGACGAACGUUACGACUACCUUCUCUCUUCUUCUCCUUUGCUGCCGCUUCAUCAUCCAAUAAUCCUCUUCUUCAGUCACCAUGUCUCUCCCUCACCAUGGUCAUGGUCGAACAGAUCUUCCCGAAAACUACUCCGCCAUAUAAAUCCUGAGCGUAAAUACAACUGCCUCAAAGAACCUGAAAAACAAUUUAAAGAUCCAGUGUCUAGUCAAAAACCUUGGCCAAGGUGCCCCAUGCCUGCAUUUCCACCACCUCCAUUCUAGGCCUCUGUUUACAAGCUCAGUUGAUAGUAUGAUUCAUUUCACAACAAAUUGGUAAUAAAAAGAUUAGUCCGUCUAUCUUAUACAUGCUAUGAGUUCCUUUUUUUACCUUGCGUCAAAUUCUCAACAUACUCCAUCAAGAUGUUGCCUAUCAUGAUUCACCAAUCUCAUAUUCUCAAAUUUAUUUUUAUUGUACUAAAUAUGCUUUUUAGAUUUUGUGAGCUUUGAUAUUAGAUAGCAUGGGUUCAAUCUCACAAUCAAUUCAUUAUGAAAUAUGUAACAAAUCUAUUUUAUAAAGAAUUUUGAUUUUUUUUUAAUAUGAAAUUUUCAAUAAAUGUUUUUGGUUAUUAUCACUGCUACAAAAAUAGACUAUCGUGACGUUUUAAAGUGUAAAAAUUAUUAUUCUUGAUGGUUUUAAAACCGUUACUGAAGUCAACAUCAAGAAAGUCGAAGUUCUUGAUGAUUGAUAAAAACGUCAAGAGUAGUGAACGUUGACGUUUUAUAAACAUUAAGUAUACAAAUUUUCAUGACAGCUAAAAACCGUCAAGAUAUGAGUGUUCAUGACAUUUAAAAUCUGUUAAGAAUAUAAGUGUUUAUGACUUUUAAAAACUAUCAAGAGUACGAGUGUUCAUGACAUUGAAAAAUCGUCAAGCAAUUGAUUGUUUAUGACAUUGAAAACCCGUCAAAAAUGCAUUUGUUUAUGAUAUUUUAAAACCGUCAAGAAUGUAUUAUUUUUAUGAUUUAAAAACUAUCAAGCUUGUUUCAAUUUUUUUUUAAAAAUAUAUAAUUCUAUUAUAUUUUAUUUUAUUGUGCUCCUAUUGUCCUGUAUAGUGGUCCAACAGUUUUAUAAAUAUAUAUGAACGACGAUAUUCAUCAAAUAUAGUUUCAAAACUUGAACAUAUAUAAAUAUAACCUUUCACCAUAUAUGUAUAUAAUCAUUUCCAAAACUAUAUAUAUAUAUAUAUAUAUAUAUAUGAAUAUUUCAAGUCAUUGACAAAAACAAUAUAAAUAAUUUCAUCAGAUUGGCAACAAAUUCAACUCAACAUCCUAAUUAAGUAACUUAUCUAAAAAAUAUCUAGCUAUAAUAAAUCUAAUCUCAAUAAUAUACCAAUCAAAUAAGACUACAAUCCAAUCAAACUAUUGUUAUUCCAAAAAUUACAAGACUACAAUUAUAGUUUAAGAAACACAAACAUAUGAUUAAAGAAGUUUGAAACUCAAUGACCUUGUUAUGAACUUGGCUUCAACAACAAACUUAGAUUCUAGAACUUAAACAAAAAUACAACAAUCUCAAUUAAAAUAGGUUCACAUACCAACAUUUUAUCAAAUAUCUAUAUUGGUUAUGCCACUAAAAAAUGAAGUUGAAAAUGCAUUAACUAAUGCCAGUGAUCAUGACAAUUCAAAAUAUGGAAAUAUUAUAUGAAGUUGCAGCAGCCAAGACGAGCGGCAAAGUCUUCCUAGCGAAGACAACAAGCUCCACAAAACAAAAUAGAUUUCAGCAUAUGAAAAUGUAUUGAGAACUUGGGGAAAAAAGAUUUAGUUAUAAUCAACUCUUCAAAAAUCAAAUAAAAUUAUGUUGGGCUCACGAUAAGUUAGAAAAGUAGACAGUCCAUUAUAAACAACAUAACUAGAAUCAAAAUGGCAAGAAACACUGAAGAUACCUCUUCAUUACACCAUGGAGCCAAUAUCAUUUAUUUUGACUGAAGGCUUCACUAAACUCCUUAAUGAUAUGUUAUGAUGUAGAAGAAAUUGAAGAUUUAAAUCGAAGAAAAAAUUAUUUAAAAAUAGAAGAAGUAAAAUUUGGAAGAAGUGAUGAAAAAAUCUGAAAAAGAAGAAAUCACAGUGAAGGAACAAGAAGAUCAAAAGAAAUUGACAAAACAGACAGAUGUGAAAAUUAUGAAAAUAUAUUUUAGUAGCUUCAUAGACUUGUUUUUUCUUACCUGCCGUAAAUAUUUUUUGAUUUUUUCGUAAAUUAUCUAUAUUUUAAUGUAUAUAAUUACUUUUAGUUUUAUACUAAAAAAAGGGCCAAAGAGGAUGACAGAGAGAUUAAUUAGUUGGAGACAAAUGCAAGUGUGUGAGAGAGAAUAAUUUUAUAUGAAAAAUACUAAGAAAGAGAUGUUUAAUUAAUUGACCAUUUCCCUUCAUUUAGUUAUACAUACAUAUUUCUUUAAUAAGAUAAUAACAACUUACGUUAUUGAUAGGUUAAUUUUGGAGGAUUGAACGAUUCAAACUUGUAAUUGUUUUAUUCGGAAUAUUUGUUUGUGCACUCUAUAGUUUAAAAUAUUUGUACUAUUACAAAUAUAAUUAAAAUAGAUGUCCAUAGUCAAGUGUCAGUGUUCUCCGCAUCAAAUUUUUUUGGCAUAUGUUUUGAAGAUAUUAAUUCUCAGUGGUCAUUUAAUCCAUCUCAUGUUUUGUUAAAUGGCCAAUAAAUAAUGGCAUUUGAUGGAUUUUGUUAGACAAAUAUGGAUGAAAUUUCCAAAAAAAUUGGGAGGAAGUGGAAUAUAUUAGUGGGACUUUUACGGAAUUUGAACUUUUUUCUUAAAUUUUUUAUUUUAUUUCCUCUAAAAUUAUAUUUUUUUAGAUUUUCUUAUUGUUGUUGUGCCACAUUUUUACAUUAUCGGCAAGAGCUCUUAUAAUUUUUUCUACUAAAGUUAGGUCCUAAAGGUAUGCCGUAUUUUUCCUACACGUUAUAAUUAAUAAAUAUUAUUUUUCUUUUUAGUAUGCAUUAAAAUUCUAAUAUAAAUACAAUAUUAUUUUAUAAUAGUGUUACCUUGAAAAUAAAUAAAAAAUUAAAAUUUCUACUAUUUGAUACUAAUAGUAAUAAUUUUUUUUAUCAUGAAUACUUAAUACCAAAAUACGUCGAGAUGCCAUUAAAAAUAUGAACAUAAAAAAAAAAAAAUUAUUCUUUCUAAAGCUCGUUAUAAAGGGAUGUACUUAAGGCUCCAAAAUUUUAAAUCAAUAUUUUAGAGAGAUUUUCUAUGUAUCAGAUAUGCUCUUGUAGUAGCAAUAUUGAGAGAAAUAUUUUCAAAACUAUUAUGCACUAUUUAUCUAAUGUGUUCACAUUGAUGAAUGAAAUAACAAGUUAUUGAUUGAGAAAUUAUGAAUAUAAUAUCAGUCAAGUAAAGAACCUAGAUUUUCUAAAGUGAAUGUUGUAAAUUUUAAUAAUGGUAGAUGAAGAAUUACGAAUCUUCACCAAUCAAAACAAUCAAAUUUCCUGAGGUGGAUGUUGUAAUUUGACAAUGGUCCAUGAUCAAGGUUGUGAGCGCAUUGAAGGAAAAAAUAAUUAUUUUUUAUGGUUGGUUGUUGUCAUCAUCUAAUGUUCAAAAUUAAAGAACCAUAUGAAAGGAUGAUCAUAAAAGAAAAGCUCUAGAGGAAAAAGAGAAAAAAUGUGAAAGUAAAUUUUGCAUAUCAGAUUAUAAUAUAUUUGGAUUGUCCAACAUGACAAAUUCGGAUGUGGUAUAAUUUGGAAAGAAAAUUGACAUAUUUGAAAAAAUAGCAAGUGUUUCUUUUGUGAUUAUAUUUUGUUUAAUAUAUAUAUAUAUAUAUAUAUAUAUAUAUAUAUAUUUAUUUAUUUAUUUAUCUCUUCUUUUUUUUUUAUAUUCUAAGAUUUAUUUCUCUCGUUGUAAUUAUUUUAUUUAAUAAAGAAGCAUGGAUAGUUUUCUUAUGCUAAACAACUAAAAAACGAGCAAUGAAUUAAGAUAUAUGUCUGUUAGACAAUGUCAACUACCCACACAAUACUGAUAAGUAAAAUGUGUUACACUACAAGAAUCAAGAUCUUUCGCGACGCAAAAAACGUCGACAAAAACACAUUCUGCGUCAGAGAAGGUAUUUUCGACAUCAGACGCGACGUCGACAUUGACGUCGGGACACUUUCCCUAAUGCAUGACACGUCAACGUCAGUGUCACGUUCACUGAGCGAUGUAAAAAAAAUCCUUAUCCCCGACGUGCUGACAACAUGUCGAAAAAAGGCUUUCUCAACGUCAAUGCUCAACGUCAGGUUUGUCUCUUUCCCUGACAUGUGAUAUACGUCGGAGUACAUUUUAAUUUUUAAAAUUAUUUUGUUAGUUAUUUAACUAUUAAUUUUUUUUUCUUUUUGUAAUUAUUGUUUUCGGUUUCGCUUCGCAAGACAAUAAAAAAAAAUUGUGGUAAAUUAUGAAAAUUAUAAUAUUUCAAUUUAUAAUAAACAAGGUACACGAAAGAUGUUCAAUACAAAAAAUUACAUAUAAUAUAAAACAAUUACACGAACAUUAAAAAAUCCUACACCUAUCUACUAUGCUCUAGUCAUGGACGCUAAACCUAUAAAUGACAUAAAAGUAGAGUUAGAACAUCACAUAUACAAAAUUAAACAAAUUAAAUAUUGAAAUUAAAGUACGUACCCCAAGUGUUCACGGUCCUUUUUGUGUCCGACUCAUCUCCUCGAUCAUUUGCUUCAUCCGCUCCAUUUGUCGUGCAUGGUAUGCUAUUUGUCGGUCUCGCUCCUCCUCCCUCAGGUGCUGCUCUUCAAUCAUGUGGUUAGCAUUUUCAAGGCUUGCCUUUAGUUCGCUAACCUCUGCCAUGUGUGCCUUGUAGACAUAAAUAUUGGAGGAAGAAGCAGAAACAGAGCUAUUCUUGGACUUGUGUUUUGAGCCCUAACCAAGACUUUUUUAGUAGCCCGAUCAUCUACUCAAAACAGUCUCGCAUAUCUUAUCCUCAAAUAGUGGUUGAGAACCCUCUGGGACAGCUGAGACUGAAGUUCCAACAUUUGAUUAUGCACAAUAGAAGCUUGUAAGUUUGAGAGAUGAUCAAACAUAAAACUAAAAUUGAAAGUAAAACAAAAAGUUUUCAUAAACUUACAAAAGCGUCAUCUGCUAUAAAUAUGAACAUUGUAGAACUUAAGAGAAUCAGUUCGAUAUUUAGAAAACUUUGUGCAUUGAACAUUUUGAGCUUAUGGUUUGUCUAAGCCUCAAUCUUCAUGUAUUGGUAUUGAAAAUCUUUAUACACUUGUCCUGUUGAGACUUUUAGUUCUGUAGUCUUUAUAGAACUUAAGAGGAGUUCGAUAUUGAUAUUGUAUUUAAAGGGGAGUCUGAAUAUAGAGAAUAUGAGGGAUCUCACUCUCAAAGGGACCCUAACAUAUUGUAUCGAAGGGAUCUCAUACUAAGCUUGAAGAAUGAUUUUUGUGGAAGUGAGAGGUUGAGAGCUCAAACUUACGGGGAGCCUAAGCUGAAAUGUUGAAGAGCAAGCUAUACGAGAGUCACUAAGAAAAAGGUGUAUGUCAGAUAAAAUAGUUUCGCUGUAAUUGCUAAACUUUUUAUAUAGUGAAGUUUCGUUCCACUGGACACACUACCCCAAGAUGUAGGUGAUUUUGCACUGAACUGAGUUAUCAAUCUUGAUGUCAUUAUUUUUUCUUCUUGUUUUCGUAAUAGAUCUCUUAUCAUAUAUUUUGUAAGGGACAUCAUGCUUAACCUUGUGUCCUUCAUUAAACGUGUCAUUUUUUUUAAAUAGAUUAUAUAUUGAGAAAGCCCUAUUUACAUUUGUAUAUCAGUUUCGUUGGUUGAAGCACGAUGUGCCGAAAACAAAAUAUAAGGAAAAUAACGUGUGGUUUUUUUCUCUCUCAAGUUUGAGAGUUUUGAAUUAUUGUUACUUUCAUGCUAUCAAGUUGUAGCACUACUUGAAAGCAAAUAGUUUGUGUUGGUUAUUUGAUGGGGAUUUGUAGCCUUUUAUAAUCUCUACUAUUGUAGUAGAACUUGAUGUAGUUCCAAGUCUGAACUCAAACAAUAUAUUUUUAUAAAUUUCAAAUUCUAUCAGUAAUAAAUAUUGACUAUAAAUUACAUUGAUACACAACGAUAGAAGUCUAUCAAGUUUCUAUUAUUAUUGAUAAAAUCCAAAAUUUUAAUUUGUUAUAAGUUGUAAAUAUUUUAAUUUAUUUUACUAUUUUUAAAAAUGUUCAUUUUAUUUUUCAUAUUUAUUGACUUCAGCAAAUAUAUGUUUAAGAUACAACUAAAAUUCUAUUUUUCAGAAAAUUGUUGUCGGAUUAUAUGAAUUAUUAAAAACACAUAUUUUCUUGGUUAACUUCCAUAAAUAGAACAAACAGCUAAAAUAUUUACGACGUAUAAAACAAAUUAAAAAGUCCAUCAAAUUUACCAUUUUUUAAAAAAACUAUAGUUUGUCAUUUCUUAUCAUCAUCUUUCUUCUCUUAUGUUCUAUGAUUUUUUUCUUUUCCUCUUCUCACAUUUUUUCUUUUCUUUUUCUGCGAUAUUUGUUUUCUGUGUUUUUUCUCUUCUUCUACAAUUUUUUUAAAGUAUUUCCAUUUGCUCUUUCUUUUCAUAUUCUUUUUCCUCCAAUUUUUCUUUUCUUUUCCAUCGUUUUUUUCUCUUCUUAUGUAAUUUUUAUUUCUUUUCAUUUUCAUCAUCUUUUUCUUUCUUUGAUAAAUUUUUUAUUUUUUUUCAAACUGUUAUUUGGUUCAAGAUCGUGUGUCAAACAUAAAACAUCAUGAAAAAAAAUCGUUGGAAUAUUGGAUUGUCAAAUGUAAACGAUCGUGUACAAAAAUAGUCAAAUCUAAAUGAUCAUGUUCCAAAUCUAAACGAUAAUGUACCAAAAAUUCUUGAGAAAAAAUCGUUGAGAUUUAGCUACCCUAAUUUAAAUGAUCAAAUGUAAACGAUCAUAUGUCAAACGUAAACGAUUGUGUGCCAAAUAUAAAUGAUCGCGUCAAAAAGUUAUUCAAUAAAAUCGUUUAGAUUUGGCUACCAAAAUUUAAACGAUUAAAUAAAUGAUCAUGAAAAAUCUAAACGAUCACGUACCAAAAAAAUCUUGAAAACAUAGUUUAGAUUUCGCUACCAAAAUCUAAACGAUCGUAUAGGAAAGAUUAGUCAAAUCUAAAUGAUCGUUUCUCAAAUAUAUUAUGCGCGCUAGAUGCAAAUUAAUCGCAUGGACAUUUUGAAAUUUUCCAUUGUGGACCGGUGGGCUUUUUCAAUUUCCGAAAUUGUCCUAUAAGAUUUAAAUAUUUUGCCGCUUUGUUCUAUUUUUCAAAUGACCUCUAUUUUUUUUGUAUCCAAAAUUUCAACUUUAAGUUUUAAAAUGCAUAAUUAUAUUAAAUAAAGAUAAAAACAUUGUAAAAAGGUUAAUUGUUUUAUAAAUAUAAUAAACCGGCAAAAUAUUUACAACAUGUGUAACAAAAUGAAAAAGUCCAUGAAACUGACCAUUUUUUAAAAAUAUUUCAGGUUUGUCAUUUAUUUUCAUCGUUUUUCAUCUCUUCCUCUUCUAUGAAUUUUUUCUUUCCAUCGUCUUUUUCUCUUCUUUUUUUGUCAUUUUUCUUUUAUUAUUUUUUCAAACAGUUAUUUGGUUCAAGGUCAUGUAUCAAAUAUAAAAUAUCUUAUUUAAAAAUUUUUUUAAACGGUUAUUUGGUUAUUGCAAAUAUAAAUGAUCAUGAAAACAUUAUUAGAUACUGGAUAGCCAAAUCUAAACAAUCGUGUACCAAAAUAGUCAAAUGUAAACGAUCAUGUACAAAGAAUUUUAAAAAAUUAUUUAGAUUUGGGUAGGAAAAUUGAAAUGAUAGUCUUCCAACUAUAUAUCAAAUCUAAACGGAAAAUAUAACCGACCGUGGUCCAAAUAUAACGAUCGUGUACCAAAAAUCUUGAACAAAAUCGUUGAUAUUUGGGUAGACAAAUUUAAACGAUCAAAUCUAAACUAUUGUAUUCAAAAUAUAAACAAUCAUGUACCAAAUCUAAAUGAUCAUUUACAAAAAAAAAAAAAAAAAAAAAUCUUUGAUAUUUGGCAAAUUUAAACGAUCAAAUCAAAACGAUCUGGUACCAAAAAAAAUUAUGAAAAAAUGGUUUAGAUUUGUCAACCCAAAUUUUAAUGAUCAAACUUAAAUGAUCGUGUACCAAAAAACAUUGAAAAAAACAUUGUUUAGAAAUCUAAACGAUCGUGUAAGAAAUAAUAGUAAAAUCUAAAUGAUUAUUUUUCAAAUAUAUGACGCGUUAGAUGUAAUUAAUCACGGGAUAUUUUCUAUAUUUUUCAUUACAAACUUUUUCGGCCGUUUUUUAAAUUGUUUUAUAUCGUGUAAAUAUUUUAUCUUUUUGUUAUAUUUUUAAAAAGACUCAUUUCUAAAAAUAUAGUAUGUCAUGUUACAAAGUUAAUCCAAUUUGUAAAUUUUAAAAAUACAUAUUAUAAUGUCGUUGUAGACCAUUUUGAUUGUAGUGUAUAACUUCAAUUCAAUUAAAAUCUAAGUUUAGUCGUAAUGGUUUGGAUAAAUUUAAAAAUUAAUCUAUUUAAUUUUAAGAUUUAGAAUUUAGUUCUAUAGAAAUUGAUAUAACCUCAUGUAUAGUUUCUAUAGUUUAUUAAAUUCUCUUAAAUAAUAUCUGCUAUGAAAGUUAAAAUAAAGUUUUACUUACUACAGGGAGAGGGACGAAAGAAGGUUUGGCAUCUAAAAGAUAUUGAUCUGCUUGGUAAAUAGAUUUAAAGAUACUUGAAUAGAAAGAACAGCAUGUGGAUGCCGGUGAUCCAUGGACUCCAAAUAUGCACCCAUUUGUCCUCUCUCCAUCCCAAUCGUUUGGCAACACAAUAGCUCAAAAUCACAUGGUUUCACAUUGCCAAACUUCAAGCCAAUAAUAUAUUCUUGAACAUACUGCUUGGCAUCUCAACAGUGGCGAAAAGACGUACAUUUUAUUUUAUUGGUUCCACAAUUGGUCCUCUAUGAAUGUUCUAAACAAGAAAGCACCCCGAUCCAUUAUUUGCGUUGACCAACAAUCCUCCAUUGACUGUAUUAAUAUUUGUGUGCAAAUUCUCUAGCUAUGAUACUGAAUGAUGUCUGCUGAUAUGUUGAGUUCUAAAUUUAAUUUGCGUGUUGUAACUAUGAUGCAUGUGUAUAUUUUCCAUCUCUCUUAACCAGAAAGGCUUUUCUGUAGUCCCUGUAUUCUCGUUCGAACUGCUCUCUACCUCUCUAUGUAUAUAAUUCUUAUUUUGUUUGAAUGCAUCAUCUGAAUGAGGGUAUGGUAAUGUUCUACUAAUACGAAUCCCAGUUUCUAGUUUUCUUUUAAUAAUAAUAAUCGUUUAGUUACCAAAUUAGAAAAGACUCAAACAAACUUUUGGUUUUGUUUAGAGAACUAUGUUGAGUAAUUCUCAAGUCAAUUGACUCGUACAUACAUAAUAUUCAAUUAUACUUUUUCUCUAAUUAAUUAUUUCCAUUGACCUUAAGAUUUAAAAAAUAUCCCUGUAUAUUAUACUUGGAGACCAGAAUGUUUCUUCAAAAAAACUUGGAGGCCAAGAAAACCACAUGUCAGAAAACCACAUGUCAAUGUGUUAGACAAGUAAGAAAAACUAAUAAUUUUUCUUUUAAAAAAAAUAUGGAAAUACUUGCAAAAAUAGCAAAAAUAUUUAUAAUAAAUAUGGCUCAUGUCACUAUAUUUUCUAAAUUGCAAAAGUAACAAAUUUAAAAUCAAUAACUCUCUAAUAGCUUCUGAUCAUAGCCCUCUGAUAGCUGUCUGAUAACCUUUGAUAUCAUUAAUUAUUUGUCAUAUUCACAAUAUGCAAGAAGGAGGUAUUAUGAGCUGUUUUUUUUUAAGUAUUUUGGUCAUAUCAUGCAAUUUCUCAAAAAUAUACUUAGAUUGAAUUAGUGCAUCCAUCGUGUAUUCCACUAAAUUGUCCAAGGAAACUUUAUGAAAUAUUUUAAUUAUUUGUUUGACAUAAGUGAUGAAAUAGUGAUGCAUCUACGACUCUACAUAACUGCUCCUUAAAAAAACUAAAUAUUUAUGAAAUAUAGCAACAUUUUAAAAUUAACGUGACUAAAUUUUUCAUAAUUUAUAGAUGGUUUGAAUAGUUCUAUAUUUACAAUCAUUUCUCAUUUAUUAACCCACACACACCCAUAUAUAUCAACAAUAUAUAUAUGAAAUUAGUCCACUUUUAUUUGGAAAGAAAAAACUAGUUUACUUUAAUAAUAUUUAUUAACACUAUCAAUCAAAUUACUAAUAAAAGGGUUGCUCAGAUUUGUGGUUCAAAUCUCGACGGUCCAAUUUAUUAUGAAUUCAAUCCUUUUACUUGAUAAAGAGGUAAAUUAUUGUAAAAAUAGGAAGAAUACGUUUAAUUUUUAAAAAUGAAAUCGCUACCUAAGAUGUCCCAAUUGAUAGUUCUAUUUAAUGAUACGAAUAGAGAUUUGGUUCAAACAAAAACCAAAAACCCACACUCCAUGGCGCCACCAUUGGCUUAUCUAUUUCUUGCAAUUUUGUUGGCAGUGGCAUCCUUCUCUCCGAGCUCACUGUCGAUAGCCGCCACCGCCGCCCCAAGCUACGGGAUUCCUUACCCUCCUCCACUGCCACGCCCACUCUUGUUCCAUAACGACCACAGCUCUCUUCCACCGUCGCCAGCGGCGGAGGAGUAUCCGGCGAAAUCCCCCCGGCGUGUAAAUGGUGAACGUAAAGAUAAGUGCAGUGAAGCUCCAAGAAAUGGAAAUAAAGAUGCAAAGCCAAAUAAGGAUCCUUGGCCGAAGUGCCCCGUCCCCAAAUCGCCACCUCCUCCAUUCUAAGGAAUUUGAAGACUUUUUUAGCAGUGGAAAUUUGAACAAAAAAAUCAUGUAUAAUGUAAUUUAAGAAUCAAUAUUGAAUACAUUUAUCGGGAAUUCCUUGUAUUAUAUUUGUAAAUAAUACUAGUAAACGAUUGCAUUUGUUGUAUAUUAUAUAAUGCAUGUGUACCUUCAAAUUUUUUAGAUGAUGUUAUAUAUUUUCAAAUUUAAUACUAAUGUCAAGAUAUAUUUAUGCUUAACUUGACUCUUCAAUAUUUCCGCAGGGAAUAAAAUGAAUUAAAGUUUACUAGUAAAAUUUUAAAUUCUAUUAAUAACAAACAUUUGAAUAUCCUCUCUAUCAUUGACAUUAAUAGAGAGAGAGAGGUAGAAGUCUAUUAAUUUCUAUAAUGGAUAGAAUCCAAACAUUUUGCUAUAGUUUGUAAAUAUUUUAAUUUACUUUGUUAUCUUUAAAAAUGACCCCUCACAAUAUAUGUCAAUUUUACCUAAUGAAAAGUAUCUUAUAUCAUAUUUAAAUGACUUUGUUUUAGGGGCAUUUAUAAAAAUAGCAAAAAAGAAGAAAAAAAGAUAAUAUGACUCAUGUCACUCUAUUUUCUAAAUUGUAAAAUUAUAAAAUUUAAAAGCUGAUAAUCUCUGAUAACUAUCUUAUAUGACUCCCUGAAAUCAUUAAUUAUUUAUCUUAUUUAGUAAAUUUACCAUAUGAAAAAGAAAAAAAAAGAUAUCAUUAACUAUGUUUUUCUAAAUUUUUUUUUCAUCUACGUGUAUUCAAAAUGUAUUUACUACGUACAAUUUUCAACAAUAUCAAUGUAACUAAUUGUUAGACUUUUUCUUUAAUAUAUAUGAUUUGACUUCUUUUUAAUGUAAUUCAUAAAUUUGAACUGAUGACUUUUUUUUUUUUUAAUUUAGAAAAAGGAGCCAGAUUAUUUAUUUGAGACAAAAUCUUCAACAUGUCUACGGAUAAAAGUAUAUAAGUUUUCUUAGAAAUGGUAUCAAAUAUUUCAUUUAUACUGUUAAUACUAGAAUCAUAUAUAAAUUGAUACUAUUAUUAGUAGAAAACUAAAUCAAAGUUUAUCUUUCAUACUAUCAUUGAUAGAACUGAAUCAAGUAUAUUAUUGAUAGAUGUUAGUAGAAGUUUAUGGAUAUCUAUUUUUUUUUCAAUUUAUAUAAACAAUUCAUUAGAAGAAAUUUGGUCUUUAAUGUCGAUUUAAAAUCGACACUAAAGGUAUUUAAUGUUGGUUGGCAACCAACAUCUUUGCUAGCUUUAUUAACGUUCUUUUAAUGUCGAUUUAGAAACGACAUUAAAGGUCUUUUUAUAUCAGUUUUAAACCGACAUCUUUGAUGGUGUUAUUGAAGCCAAGGUCUUUAAUCUCAGUUAGCCUUUAAUGUCGGUUUUAAACUGACAUUAAAGAGCCCAACAAAAUCGUUUUAAGUCUUGUUUCUUGAUCUAUUUUUACAAAUUUAUUUGUAUUAACUUGUUGCAUUAUUAUCCAUUUUUUUAAUUCACCAAAUAGUGAAAAUAUUAUUUUAUAAACUAUAAUAUUUAUGUUUUACAUAGGUUUGUACAAAAUGAAAUCUUAGUAUUGUGUUUAUAUAUACAUUCUACAAUAAUACAUGAAACAAUAUCCUAAUACAAGACUUAAAUAAGAAAUCUUAAUCGUCUUCUCAGUCAUUAGUUUUCAACCUUCAACGAUCACUUGACUAUCUACACAAUCGCUUAGCUUUUAAUCUGAUAUGACAUCAAUCAUUCUACAAACAAUAUCUAAAUCAAUCAUUUAAUCUUUAAAAUUUUAACAGGGCAACUUUUAAAAAAAAUGUAAAAUAAAUAUGUUUCUAAACACUAUCAUAUAAUUCAAAUAAAAGAUAAAAACGUAUGUUUGAAACUAAAUCGAUUAGUCAAGUAUAGUCCAAGAUCAUGACAUUUUCAAGGUCAUGAAAAUGGUUCUUCAAACAAUUAUUAAUAUUCGAAACAACCAACAAAAUUAAACAGAAUAAGUAUCUCGAAGAUUAAGCUCCACAGCAAAAGGUUUUUUCAUUGAGUUUCACUAAAUAUACGUUUGGCACUCGAGCAAUACCUUUUAGAAAAAUAAACAACAAUAGAAUAUGAGUCAACUCAACUCAAACAUUCAAAAAUCUGACAAAUAUUAUAAACUCAUUGAUCAAUGCAUCUUUGUACCAAACAAUCCAUAUAUUUUCUAUCAAAACUAUGAUUUCAACUUGCUCUUAUUCAUAAGUUCAGCCAUAUACACCAAACAAAAAAGAGCUAUUUAUAUGCCCUUUAUAGUUUAUUUACAUUCUCUUUUAAUACGGUAGAAAGAUAAACAAUUACGCAAGAUCAAAUCUCUUAAAAAACAAUUUUUCAAUACCUCAACCAAAAAAUCUUACCUUUCAUGGAAAAACUCCAGGUGAAAAAUCACCUCAUUCAAAUGAAGAAAUCCAUUUGUGAGGAUUAAACUAGCAAAUCAGUUGUUCUCAAAACAAAAACUAGAAAAUUUUGGAGCUAAAGAAGUCGUCCUCAUCAUCUUCAACAUCGCCAAAACCUCUCUUACUCCCUACAUUAUUUUUCAUAAACAUAGCAUUAAAUGAGUAAACACAAGCCAAUCUCAUACCAACUAUUCAUUUCAAAUAACGUAAAAUUUGACCGGACUGCCUAUUGUUAUGCGUUCCAUUAAAAUCGUCUCACAACAAAAUACCAUUAAGAAGAUUUCAUUGCUACAACAACAAAAUAUCAUGAAGAAGCUUCACAAGAAAAUAUUGGUAUCAAAUUUUUCAAAAGAUUGUUUUUGUUGAUAUCAAAUUUGUUAUCCGAUCCAUGGAUAUUUUAAAUCAAAGGAGGAACAAAAGAACACUAAGAACAAAAUACCUUUGAUGAACCACAAGAAAAUAGUGCAAAAGGGAGAUAUAAUCUCUAAGUUUAUCAGCUGAAGUUCCAAAAGCCUACAUCUAGUAGUUUUGUAGUUGGAAUUUGUGUACUUUCCAGCAUACACAAAACUUAAAUAAAAUCCAUAUUAAUUCGUUGACUAUUGAACAAUCUAUAUACAUAUUGCAAAAUGAGAUUAAAAUAGAUACAACUUAUGUAACAGGUAAACUGAUAAUAUCCAAGAUUGUCAUAAGAAAAAUGAAAUACCUGACACAAUAUCCAAGAUGGAAGUUAUAAAAUGAGUAGGUCAACAAAAAUAUUAUGAAUAAGCUUCACAUUAUGAUUUUCUUCCCCAUCAAAGAAAGAAAGUGAUCCAUCUGUCCUCACCUUAGGAAAACAUUAAGAUAAAAUAUUUAGAAAUGGAAAAAAAAGAUCAAGUUUAUUUAAUAACCAACUAAAGAAAACAAAGUAUUUCUUUCAAUAUACGUACCACAUACUUUCUCAAUAAGUCAUCUUCUUUCUUUAAAUUUGGUAAACUCUUUGCAUGCUCCUACGAUGUUUUUGCCUUAUGCACUUCAUUUAUUGACAUCUGAUAAAAGAGUUCAACAAUAUUUGACAUAAAAAGAACUCAAAGAAAAUUUCAUAAAUUCGUCUUGUCUAUUUCUUGAAUUCAUUGUUGAAAGUUGCCAUAAAUCAUUAGCUAUCACAAUUACUCUUCUCCCCCUCGAGAGAAGCUUCAUUGUUUAAGUUUAGAGUGCGUUUGAUUAUUUGGAAAAAAAAUUGUUUUUAAUAAUACAUUUUCUUUUAAACACUCUCGAGUUUAAAAUUUAAACACUUACAUAUUUGGUUAGAUAUUGUUGUAGUUAGUGUUUUCUUUAUAUAUUUUUGUUAGAUCUUCCAUAUAUAUUUUCUCAAAUUUUGAUUUUGAGUGUUUUAUUUUUAAAUAGAUUAUAGUUUAAUCUCAUUUUAAAAAAUGCUUCUUAAAAAGUUAUCAAACGCCUUUAAAAAAAUUUAAAUUAUUUUUUUUUCAAAUUUAAACACUUUAAAAGGUAAUACAAACAUAUUCUUACUCUAUUAACUCACCACAGUUGUCCCGUUUGCGGUCGUAAAAAAACACACUUCGAUUUGAUACUUGUAUGUUAAUGAAGAAAAUAUGCUUUGAAAAAAUAUUCUAAAAUCAACUUUAGUUUAUAUCAAAUAUCAUGAUCAUUUUCAAGAUUAGGAUUGGAAGUGAUUUUCGCCGAGAUAAAUUUAAAUGAUUUGGAUUCAAAUACGUCCUCUGUGAAGGGCAACGUAAUCAUUGCUUCUCUUAAACGCUUAUUAGAGUGAAGUUGUUACUACAAGAAAUUUGGAUUUCUGACAUUAGAUGACUGUGUCACACCCUGCCUCACAGACGUCUUUGAUCGUCUUGCGAGACACGACAUGACUUGAGCAUUUUGACGCGUUCAAUGACAAAACACUCAUCUUGAAGUCCUUAAGCUUUGCUUAGAUUAAGCAAUUUUGUUAAGAAAUCAUAGUUUAGGAAAUAUUAUCAACUUAACAAACAAAAAUAAGCCAACACCUUACAAUUUUGUUACAUACGCAUACACAUAAAAACAACAAAUUUAAACUUAAGCUAAAACGCCUUGGCCUUCUCCCUAGCAAGCCCUUCAAACUUUUCUUACUUGUUUUAACGUCUGCUUUGUAGAAGAUGAUUUUUAAAAAAAGAAAAGUAUACAUACUUAGUGCAGUUUUAAUAAAUCUUUUUCGCAAAUACCUUUUAUAAACAUCAUUUCGCCAAACCUAUCAAAACAUAUAAAAUCAUCUUUACAUAAAACAUAACAAUUUUGUAUGUAAACAUUUCAUUUCGCAUAACACCGCUAUAUUAAAUUCAAGUUGUACAUUCAGAAAUUGCAUCAAAUGACAAAAAACAUUUAGAACAAAUAACUAAUGACACCAAUUUUUUGCAUAUUGCAAAUAUGAAAAAUUUAGUGAUAUCAGACAGCUAUCAGACGGUAAUCAUAGGACUAUCAAACGGUAAACAUAGGGUUAUCAGAGGGUCAUCACUUUUAAAUUUGUUAUUUUAGUAAAUUUAGAAAAUGUUAGUAACAUACGUUUUAUUAUCAACUUUUUUUCAAUAACUAUUAAAGGAUAUCUCUAAUUUACCAUUUUAGGUUAUCCAAAUUCAAAAUUAAAAUAAUAAUAAAAAAUUGGUUCAAAAACACUUUGAGAUUCUAAACUUCUAUAGAAAUCACAAUUUAGUGUUUGAAUUUUAGUUUGUAACAAUUUUGUAUUUAAAUUUUUAAUUUUAUAAUAAUUUAAUUUUAAACUUUAUUACGUAACAUUUUAGUUCUUAGAAUCUGUAAAAAUUUGAGUGCGAAAAUUGAAUGAGCUUUCUUGCCUAAGAAAAUAAUAGACCUUAGGUACUUGAUAAUUUUUAUAUAUCUACGUCAAAGAAUAUUGAAAAACAUAUAUCAUCACGUUUUGAUAAAUUGUUAUAAAUUUAAAAGGUACCAAACUAAAUUGUGACAUAAUAAAAAGUAAUUGUAAUUGAUAGUCAUUUUAGCAAUAAUAAUUAAGGAUGUAGUAACAUUUAAAAACAAUUGCAAACAUAGCAAAACUAUAAGUGACAAACUUGUGUCGCUGAUAGACUCGUAUGAGUUUAUCAGUGAUAGACCAAGAUAGACCAAUAUUUGCAAUAUAAUCUAUCGGUGAUAGACUCCUAUCAUUGAUAGAAUUUGACAAAUUUUGUUAUAUUUACAAAAAAAAUUAAGUGUUGUUAUAUACUUAAUUAUUUUGAAUCUAACUGAUAAAUUUAGAACUAUCAUACACUAAUUCAUAUAAAAUUAAAAAUACACAUAUUAAAUUGUUAUAAACUAAAUUGUAGGAUUAAAUUAUAACUUUUACAAGAGUAAAAAUUUUUAAUCUAAAACAUAAUAUAAAUAAAUAAAGGGGAAAUUUUUAUGUAUAAAAAAGAAAAAAAAAAGACUCUGGUGGUCUAUGGAGACUUUGAUAAAUUUUUUUUUAGAGUACGUUUGCCACCCAAUUUAAUUAGGAUUGCAUCCAAAAUUUCAAAACAACAGAUAGAUAAACGCAUCAUUAGUAAUUUAAUUGGAAGUAAAAAACUAUUUUCUUGACAAGUUUUGGUUCAAAUUUCCUUUGUCAAAAAGUAAAACAUCACAUCUACUCUCAAAAUCUAUUCAAUUUUGGUCAUAUAUCUUUAUUUAUUUAUUUAAACACUUAUAAAGUCAUAAUCCAAACAUACACUCAACUAUAAUGUAUUUUGAAAUUUUCAUAACUUCAAUCAGACAAUCAAAGGAAAUUGCACAAAAACAUUUAGAAAAACAGUUCAUGACACCUCUUUUUAGCAUAUUGCGAAUAUUAUAAGUAUAACAAGUAAUUUCCAACAAUAUUUUACUUUUAUUUAGGCAAAAUGGCAAAAUGGUGAAGCAUAAGUUAAACACAAAAGAAUGUAAAUUAAACGGAAAUUCCGCAACACUAAAUGGACCUAUAUUACGACGGAUUUGACUCAUUUGGCAUCUAAUACACCAACCCCAUCAUACACUCAACACAUUCCCUUCUUCUUCUUUUAAUUUUUUUUUACUAUACUAAAACCAUAAUACAUAUAUAGAUAUAUAUAUAUAUUUAAAUAUAACAAAAUGUUUUGACCUAUUAAUGAUAAAUAUCGCUAUACACGUGCGAAUCAUAGAUAAUAAUAUAGAGUAUCACUAUUUGUCCCUAAAUUUUGAAUUUAGCUUAUUUCACUAUUUUUUUAAACAAAUUUAAUAUUAUUAUUUUAUUUUAUUUUUGUGUAAAUUUCUUCUGCUCUUUCUCUAUCUUACUUUACCAAACUACACAAAAGACUCAUUCAACACUCUACUUCACUUUCACUUUGCACUAAUUAGGGUUGAAAAAUACUGUGAAUUAAUUCAAUACCUAAUUUCUUUUCCACAUAGUCAAUUAAUCUAUCCUUUCAUCUUCAUUUAAAAAGAGAGAAAAAGAAAAGUAAAAGACGAACCUACUCUUUCAUCCAACGCCACAUUUUUGUUCUUUCAUAAAAUAUCGUCAAAUUUGAAAUUAGUACUAAUAUUAAUGAAUAUUAAAAAGAAUAAUAGGAUUUCCACAAUAAUAAAUUUUAGUGUAAGUCUUACUUUGAAAACUAUUUAGGUUCUGUUCAUUUUUCUCUUUCCUACUCACAUAUAUAAGUUUUCUUUAGAUUAUAAUUUCCUUUUUUUUAAAAAAAAGAAAGAAAAUCUAAAAAAUUUAAAUGUUUUCUUAAAAGAUUAGAUGAAAUUAACAACGAAAAAAAUUGGGAAGAAAAAAUAUAAAUUAAAAUGACUAACCAUGGAUAACAAAUUCAAUAUAAAAAAAAACAGUUAAUUUAUGGAUUUGGUUUUUAUGAAAAUUCUCAUCGUUUAUUUACAACAUUUUCAUCUUUCGUGGUAAAAGAAUUGAAGUUUUAGCUAAAUCUGAGAAAUAUUUUAUUUAUUUAUUUAUUAAAACUUGGGUUUAAUUUCAUAAUAUUUGAAAAGUCAUAUAACAAAACCAAACAAAAAGUCAUAUACAAAAAGUUGAGUUAUUAAAUGUCCUCGAACAGUUAUUAUUUAUAGUUUCUUACUUUUCCUGAGUAUAUAAGCUUUUUGCGAAGCAUCAAAGUCUAUGGCGGCGAGCACCAAAAAUUAAUUAAUAUGGAAGUAUAUAUUAUUUUCGAAAUUAUAAAUUUAUCAAUGUACUAUAGAGGGUUUGAAAACCUAGUUUGAGAUAUACAGUUUCACACAGUUGAAUAGAUGAUUCUAGUCUCUACUGGACCAUUCUCAUAUACAAAAGAAAAUUAAAUGAUCCAAUUAUAAAUGUCGUUUUCAAAUAAACAUUAUUCAAUUCGGGCGGCAUCUUCAAUAUAGCAUAUACCAAACCCAAUUUGCAUAUAUGAAAAUUCCAUCUUUUCAAUCAUUUCAAUUAGUUUUUCCAAAUUAUAUUAGAUUACUGUUCCUUUAUAAAGGAGACUUAUGAAGAUUAUAACUUCAUUAUAAUAAUGUUAAACUUUUACCUCCUACACCACAGAAAUGGCUGCCACCUGUGUUGACAUAUUAAAAGUUUAUAAAGACGUGUGUAGAUAUUGAGAUGCAUGAUUUAAAAUAUAUAGAAAAUUUUGAUAAUUAGAAAGGUAUUGUAAAGAUUUGGUCACCUACCGCAUAAUUAUAUGAUUCUUCUCCCUAUAUGUCAGUUCAUGGAUUUCAAUUAUAUUUACUCCUUCUUCGUCUUUCUUUUGAAUGAAAUUCAAUAUUAAUCUAAAAAAACAAAAUAUGAUUUUUAUUUUGUAGGAGUUUAGAGAGUUAGAACACUGGGAUUUGUUGUAUUUAAAUGAGAGAGGUCCUAAACAUAUAUAAAAACAUGAUAAAAAAGAGUUAAAAGAAUUGAUGGUUAAUUUUUGCUACUCAUGUCAAGUAUUUUUCAAUUCUCAACAACAGAAACUUCAAAAUAUAUACUAAUUAUGUUUAGAUUACUUGGAUGACCUGAUCUUGGAAAGUUUAUUAAAAAAGUGUCCCUUUGUAUUCAAUGUCAGCUUGGACUUCACCAUGUUAAAUUAUCUAUCAAUAAAAAGCUUACCAAUUAAGAUAAUUGAUUCAAUAUCGAUGCUCUAACACACACCCUUCACUAGCUCCAAAUUUUACAUCUUGGGUUGGAUGAAAAUUUGAGAAAUUUUUACAAAGUAAGUUGUUUGAAAUGGAUUGUUUGAUAUAUAUGGUUUAAUUUUAAUGAUAUAUAUUUGAUUAUUUGGAAGUGGGGUAGUAAAGAUUUUCUUUGUUUGGUUUCUUUUACUUUAUGUGUAUUUUAAGCAUCAAAAAUAGAGAAUAUCUUUCGUACUUGCACGAUUUUAUUUUUGGGAUUUUUGAAAUUUUCAUAUUUAGAUUGAUUGUUUAUAUUCUAUAUCUGUUUGAAGGUUUAUGAUAAGAUGUAGGUUCAAAACAAGUUUUGUUAGAAUUUAUUUUCAAAAAUAGCUAGGGAGUUUCUUCUACAAAUAUGGCGAACCCAACGAACUAUAGUGUGUAACGAUAAUUAAACUUAAAAUUUUUACUGCAUAAUUAUUAGGAUUUUUAGUUCCUUGAUAUUUUUAAGUAUAUUGUUUAAAAUUUCCUACUUUGACUCUUGGGUUGCUACGGUUGUUCCAUAAAUUGUUUUAGAGUUGCCUUGUCUCUGCGAUUGCUUUGUUGUUUGUGGAUUCUGUCAAAUGUGUUUCCUUCCAUAUUUAUAUUGUUAUGCAGAGUUUAUUUGUUGGGAUGAACCGAUUCGUUUGGAGGAUAUUUUUCUUUGUUCCGUUGUGAUACUUAAGCCUAAGGAAAAUUUUACAUACUAAGGAGCCUAAGGAAAACUUUUCAUAUUAAUUAAGCUAGGGUUGUUGCACAUGUUGUUUUGCUUGUUUGUUCAACAAAAGCUUGAGAGAAUAUCGUCUUUCGUAGAAAACAAUUUUUUUACUUUGGCGACAUAAAGCUGUGAAUAGUUUUGGAGAGUUCAUCGGUUCCAAGGUAUACUUCUGACUACGAGUUUGGUCUUGCAAGCUCGUGUCAAAUAAAUAACUUAAUCCAUUCACCAAGCACUAGUCUUAAUGGCAUGCUCGAGUCGAUCACAAGGAGUAUACUAAUUCUCAAACAAACUAAUUUUUAUCCACAUGUGACCGAACGGGGUUUUGAGUAGAAAUUGUUGCAAGGAAGUAAAUUUUAGUGAAAGAAAGCAAACCAAAGAAAAUUGUAUUGUCAAAGAAUCUAACUUGGAUUGUGAUAUCUUUCUCCCUUAUUCAAAGAAUUCAUUCAUCGAACUAUCAUAAUUACUUAAAUACAUGGAAUCUUCACCUAAACAAUUCAAUUACUUCAUAUAACUAAAUUGUCCCAAAGUUCUUAUUGUUUUAAUCAAUACGAUUAAGCAUGCAAUAUUGAAUUUUCCAAAAAGCAUUAAAUUCUAGAGAUCCUUACGUGACAUGCCUAAUUUUUUUUUGUAUCUAAUUGACACUCAAUAAGCUCAAAGAGGGCAUUAUUGGAAAUUUACACAAGAUAUAAAUAAACAAGAAACAAACCAAAUUAUAUAUCAAAUUUCCACUUCACAAAUUAGAACUAAAUAAGCAAUAGAUCAUAAAAUUGCAAAUAAUAAAGCAUAGGGGAAAAAGAUAACACCGAAAAUUAUAUCAGAUCGCCCUCGAGUUGAAAUAAUAUGAAGACGUGUAUACAUAUUCAAUGUGAAAUUCAAAACCAAGAAGGAUAAAUUUAAAAUUUAUUUAAAUACAAUAAUAUGAUGACUUCAUCAACUUUUAUUCAUGGUACAUAGGUAGUAAAUACUUUUUAGUUAACCCUAAUAUUAUUUCUUUUGGAAAGAAUUCACCUCCAAAUUAGCCAAUCAAAAAUAGACUUAUGAAUUAAGGAAAUCAAUGGGUUGAGACAAAAUUUAGGCUUUGGAGUUUUGGCUCCACAUUUCCUAACAUGCAUAUAUCACAUCUAUAAACAAUGAUUUAUCAGGUUAAUUUUCUAAAAAUAUAUAUGUUAUAGUUGAGUAGUAGCAAUAUGAAACCAUGAUCAAAGAGUUAUUAUUGGCGUAGCCAUUAAUGUAUAAUAAAUAUGAGAAAUAUUUUGAGAUUGUUAUAAUUGUGAUUGUUCUAUAAAAUUAUAUGAAUGCUAUAAUUUAUUUACAAACAAAAGUAAAUGAAUGAUAUAUAUGAACACAUAACCACUAGUUCGAUCUUUAUUAAAAUUUGUAAACACGUUUGCGUUUUUUUUUUUCAAUUUGUUAAUCCUUUUUAAGAUUCUCAUGUCUUAAUGCUUUAAAAUUAAAACGUGCAUGUCUAAAGUUAUGAAAAAGUAAAAUAGAUUAUAUAUUUUACUUUUGAAUCGUUACUUUAAUUAAAAUGCUAGAUUAUUAGUUAAGGAAAUCGAAAGUAAAAAGAACACCGCAAAUUUGACCAUGUUUGAUGAAUAUUACCUAUUUAUAGAGACUAGAUAAAGAGAUUUGUUGAUCGAGACUCAAAUUAGUAUAACAUUGCAAGAAAGCUACGUUAAUUUAGAUGACUUCCUCUAGAUUUUAUUGGUACUAUUUACCAAAGAUCAGACUCCCUUGACUUUGAUAUUUGAACCUAUAGAAGAUUAUCAGUUUUCAUUGAUUUAGAUCAUUGAAAACAAGCAAUUAUUAAGGUCUUACCUUCUGAUUAGGGUUUUUCUAUAGUUCUUUGUUCGAUGUGCCUAAUUUCAUUCCUCGAAAGAUAAAGAAAAUUUCUUUUAAUAGAUAGAGUUUGAUGAACUUAAAAUCGGAAUUGGAAAAGUAAUCUUCAAGGAUUUUACACUUACCAUCGAUCUUUAAAGAUUUUGGUAAAAGAUCUUGAAGAAUCUUGUUGAUAAAGUAAUUAAAAUAUCUUAUUGAAAAAUUCUUCGUGUGAGAGAAAAGUCCAUCGCCAUAAGAUAGAUCAACAAAAAUUCCUAAAAGUUUUGAAUGAUAUUUUUUAAAAAUAAUUCAUAACGAUUUAAUUAUAUGAAAAUAAAAAACUAUCCUUUCCUAAUUUGGAAUGAUUUUUUUUUACUUGAAGACAGAAGAUUUCACUCUCAAGACCUAAGUGUGAUGAGUGAAAAGGUUUUUUCUCUUAUUUUAAAAAGAAGUUUAACUGGUAUAGGAUGAUCUCAACACUAAGUAGAAUACUAAUUAAAAUGUAUUUACACACACAAAAAGUAGAAAAUUAAACCAACUAAAAUAUUAAAAAAAGGUCAUGCAUUAUAUUUUUUUGGAAAAUCAAAAUAUUAAAAGAUUCGAAUCUCUAUUUUACGUACGUACUAUUUAGACUAAAAAGUGUAGCAUUCGAGUGAUUGCGUAGAAAAAAUCUUAUUAAGUCUAAAACCAAGUGUAAAAUCUUAUAAAGUCACUACAAGGUAGGAAGGACGGAUCAAAGCAAUGACAAACGAGGUGAACCAAGCUACGAUAAACAAAGGAAAUGUAGCAUUCAAAAAUUUUAAGUAAUUUUGUUACUUAAUUUAAUUGUGUUGAAUAGUUUAAUAUUUGAUUAUUGGAUGUUAGAUUAAUUGGAAUUAAAAGUUAAAGGAAUUUAUUUUGGUUAUGUGUUGGAUUGAUUAAGUAUAAAUACAUGAGUAUGUUAUUUAAUUAAAGAUUUUGGAAUUUGGUGGUGUAUGUUAUUAAUUAUAUAGUUUUGGUUUUAUAAUUAAUUAGUGGAAAUUUUUUAAUUAUAUAUUGAAAUAUAAUUUUUGUAAAAAGAUGGAAUUAAUUAUGGAAGAGAAGGGAAUGUAGAUAAAUAUGUAUAUUUCAAGAAAAAGAAUUAAAUAAUAAUAAAGUAUUAUUGAUUUUAUUAUUAUUUCGUUAUAAAUUAGGGUUCAUGCGUUAAUUAUCUAUGAAAGCACAAAAUAUAUUCAUCUUUUUCCCCAACGUACUCGAGUUGCUAACUCUCUCCCUUAAUUCUUCUUCGUUGUUCUUCGAUAUCGCUUUCUUCUUCGUCCAACCUCAUCUGGAUGAGUUGUGUGUUGUCUGUCAUCAUGCUCACCGAUUUGGUUUAAGAUUGGUGAGUUGCUUGAGUGUUUUUUGUCUUUGUGUAGGAUUUUAAUACCCAAUAAAAGUGAAUUGAGAAACUCUAAAUUAAGUUUAUUAUUAAAAUUGAUUUUGGUUGCAUACGUUUGGAAGGUCCCUUUGAAAAAACAUGGAUUUAAGUGAUGAAUUUUUCCAUCAAGAUUGAGAGCAUUUUCAACUUCCAUUUGGUAAGCUAAGGUAAUUAAAUUAGUAAUUUGUUGAAAAUCGUUAAUUUAAUUUUGGUUAUGCAUAAGUAAAAUUGUGGUUUUCAUUUGCAACAAAGGAACUUAGCAUAACCUAAGGUAAGAGUUAUUCUACUACUGGAUACUCGAUUAAGGGUUCAGUUACGCUGUGAUAAUUAAUGGUGAUACGACUUUAUGCAUAGUCUGUGAUAUGUUUGUAAUGGUGAAUUAUCUGUAUAACCUAAGGUUAGCUUUAAUUAAAUUGUGAAGGGUAGUCAUUGAAUUAGGUUAAGGUGUACAAGAUAAUUAUUUGCGUAUGCUUACAAUGGAAAUUGUCUAUGCUUGUUGUGAAGUAUGAUAAUUAUUUACAUGUCUAUUAUGAAUUACUGAUAUAGUAUGUUGUGAAUUAGACUCUGAUGGUUGUGAAGUAUGAUGAUUGUUUACAUGCUACUAUGGAUUACUAAUAUGGUAUGUUGUCAAUUAGUUUACUGCAAGUCCAUUGUUGAUGAAUUGUUUAUUUGGCUUAUGGGGUACUUUGAUAACUGUUAUGGAGAGUUAUUUGCAUAUCCUAUGUGUUACUGUAAUAAUUGAUGGAUAACUAUUGACUUAAUUAUGAGUUACUGAUAGUUUAUUAAGGGUAGUAAUUGGUUUGGUCUAAGGCUAUCGUGGAAUGUGUAAAGUGCAAUGAAUUUGAGUAACCUGUGGUAACUUAGGAAUGCUUACGGUAAAAAGUACGAUGCUUUUUGCAUGCCUAUCAAGGAUUACUAUUUGACCAUAAUUGAUAAUUUUGUAAGUAAAAUUAUUAAUUUUUUAUGUUUAGGUUAAUUUGUGGUUUGAUUUGCAUCAAGGAACUUUGCAAAGGAGUUUAAUUCUAUUUUGAGGUAAGAGAUUUCUACUACCGAACCUUCGAUUUAAGAUUUAAGUUGUAUUGUAUGGAUUGACUAACAUGCACAUAAUUAAAAUGCAUUGAUAGUCUUAUGUGAGAGUUUGACAAAAAUUGUAUUGAUUUAUUUAUUUUACUGAAUACGUAACUAUGAAGUUUGUUGGUUGAUAUUGCAUGUUAUGUUUAUGCCUAUUAUUAGACUAAGUUUGAUUGCAAUAUGCCUAUUUGGUCUAAUGGUAGUUGUUACCUUUAGUUCUUAGGCUAGUGUACUCUGCACAUGUACGAAGUCCCUCGAGAUCACUACCUUUAGACUGAUAUUGAUGACUGAUUGACUGUUAAGUGUACGUUUAGGUUCACUUGAUGCCUGAUUUGUGUUCCUACGAGAUCACUAGACUGAUAUGACGACUCAGGGUACCUCCUAAUAGGAAGUUAUCGGUUUACCUAGCAAGACCAGUAGUGAAUCCCUUACUGUGUGUACUAUAUUUAUACUCACCAUUUUCAUGUUUAACUUUUCAGACAAAGGUAAGAGGAAAGGCAAGCUAACGAGCGACAAGAAGAAGAACCUGUGACUAGCCAUAUAGGAACUACUUGGUUUAUGCUUCCGUUAUUGUUUUUAGAAAGUUAAAGAUAAUUAGAUUAGUAAUGACUCCAGCUUGGUUAUUAAAAAUUUGGGUCAUUACAGGAAAUUAACCGACACCUAUAAUGGAAGGCUCAACUUUGGGUCAAGGAGGGUCCAGAUCUCGAAAGCUAACAUGGAUGACGAUUGAAGAAAACCUACUGUGAAAAGAAAAGAUAGGACCUUAUAAAUAGAAGGAUGAUGGAAGCACAAAGAAGGUACGUUGUCUUAUGUGCAUUUGAUUAUACUUUCAUUACAGAUUUUCUUGUAAACUUACUAAGUACCGAAACCAGUGUAGUUUACACCACAUCAGUGUGCCCAACCUUAUUCGGAUUUUUGCAGAUCAACUUAUCCCAAAAUUACAAAUUCACCAUUGUUGCCAAACUAAGGUCACACCAAUAUUGUUGACGAAAUUUUGACAUCAACAUUGCUAUGUAUCGCUAAGUGGAGAAUAGUGUUUCCUUGGUAUAUCCAAUUAAAAAGUAUUUCUAAUACCUAACAAAUUAUUCAUUUAAGAAAAUAGAGAAUGUUGUUUUUUACCUGAAUAAUAUUUCAAUAUGACAUAAGAUAAGAAGAAUGACUACAUUUUUAAAUAUUGCGAAAAAAUUAUCAAAUUAAAGACUAUACUUUGUAGUUAUAAUUCUUUUCUACUAUCCAUAACAAUUUUUUAUUUUAAAUAAUUUUCAAAUUCAAUCACAUAUAUAUUUGACACCUCCCAUGAAAGUCUUGGCAGCCUCCACAACUUGGAGUUAUUUAGUUUGUAAUUUGUUUGUAUUUGAAAACAAUUAUUGAGUGUCUUUCUCACAUAAAAAUUGAAAAAAUAAAAAAAUCAAAGCUGGAUAAAUGAUGAGAUCUAAAAUAAAGUCAAAAGGGAAAUGGUUUUUAACAAAUAGUUUAAUUUCAUUUUUUAUCACAUCUUGAAUCUUUCUUUUAAUAUUAAGUUAGGCAGAUCCAGUAAAAUUUAUUUUAAUGAUGAUUUUGGAAACAACUUUGGUGGAUAUUUUAUUCGGUGCCCAAACUUUAUUUUAAUAUCUGCCUAACUUAAUUAGAUCUAAUGUCUUGUUUAAUUAAUAGGAAACUGAACUUUUAGAUGAUUUAUAAUUUAUCUGAUAGAAAUAUUCUAAAAGUUUAUAAAUUUUGAAAUUUUGUUAGAGUUUGAUUCAUUUUGUUCAUUUGAAAACCAUCUUAUUUUUAUUUAUUAAGUAUUUGAUUUUCUUUUAAUUUUUGAAAAUUAAAGUUAAUAAACCCUCUUUUAAUUUUUUCUUUUUUUCUCUUUUUGAAACAUAGUUAGUGUACACCUAAUUUACUACUUUUAUAUAUAACAGAUUUACUUUCUAUUCAUAUUUUCAAAAGUUAAACUAAAGUAUAAAUCUAUCAUUAGAAAACUUGAAAACCAUAGAUUGAAAGAUUGGUUAAAAACCUAAAAGUUUUAGUUUCAUUUAAAUAACAUACAUCAACUUGAACUUGAAAAAUAAAUGUUGUAAGUUCGAAUAUUUCUUUCAAAACAAAUAUAUAUGGGUAAUAGUUGCUAAGAAGUCUAACCAUAAAUCUUGAGAUACAAUUGAUAAUAUUUGAAAUGUACACAUUUGAGAGUUAUGCUCACAUUAAUACGAAAAAACCUAUUAUUGCAAAGUUCCAAAUAUUUUUAUAUAUAUCAUUUUCGAUAACUUCAUAUUUUUAAACAAUAUUUGUUUGCUAUUUCAUCUUAAUGGCUAUUUUCGAAGGUGAUGUUUAGAGAAUUUCAUCUCACUACUUCCACUUUUUAAAUAACUAAAAGAAGAUUGAAUAUACAAAAUUAAAUUAAUAUAAGUGGGAGAAGAAGUAAUUAAAACUUCAAACCCAGUUGUGUGAGCAAUGAUCCAUCUCAUAAUGAUCUCACACUAAAUUUAAUUAUAUUUGUAUCUACCUCAUAUUAAUUAAUAAUAUUAUCGCCUUUAUAAAAAAGAAAAAGAAUAUAUUACAUUUAUUGGCCAAUUUGACCCUGAGUCACCAUUGGACCUAAUUUUGGAUAAGAGAUUGAACAAGUAGUAAACAAUAAAUUUGACAGCUAUUUUCAAACAAUACAAUUUUGGUAGCAAAGAUAAUACCAAUUCUUACAUUAACAUAUAUUCAUUUUUAAAUAUUUACGGCUAUAUAUUAUCAUUCACUAAUAAAUUUUUUACUAUAUUUUAAAAUAUUCUUAACCAUUUUUUCAUUUAAUACAAUUUUUAUAUAGAAUUAUUGCUUCUAAAAAAAUAAUAUAGUACAUGUCCUCAAGAAUCAAAUAUAUGGUGACCAAACAUGUCAAUUUUUUAAAAUAUUAAAUGUGAUACACAUUUGACAAAUUCAUUAAUUAACAACUCCUUUUAUCAUUAUUUUUUUUCAACUUUCUACGCUAUUAUCUUUUUUUUUUAUUGGUUUUAUUUUUUAAUAAAUUAACUAUUGCUCAUUAUAUAUUAUAACUUAAGGGCCAAAAUGUCAUACGUUCAUAUUGAGGGUCAGAAAACAAUUUGGAUUUCAUUGACUAACAGGUUCCUGUGAUAUAUAUUAAUUAAUUGAGAGUUAAUCACAACAAUAUCGUAUGCAUAUUAUUUUUUUUAUCUUCCAUAUUCCAAUCCGAUCAAGAAGUUUAAUUGUUAGUGCACAUUCCAAUCUUCAUUUCUUCAUUUAAAUUUUCCUUUUAAAAGAUUUUUUUCUCUUUUGGUUUGUGUCUUUUUAAUUUUGUGAGUUGUGAUAUGAUUGCUUUUUCAUGCAUUUCUCUGUCUUCAUAUAUGUUUUAUAUUAAAUUACAUACCUUUAUUUAUAUAUUUUGAAUGUUAUAUAUAUCUCUAAUCUCUAAAUUUUUCAAAAUUUUUCAAUUAAGUUUUUCAAUUUGGAUAAUACUAGACUAACAAUUUAUUUUUCAAUCUUCCUGCAAUUUAAUAGAUUAAAAUUAUAUUAUAUUUUUCCACAAAAUUUAAAGAAUUCAUUUUUAAAUGUAAUAUUAUAAUUAUAAACUAAAAUAUCUACUAAUAUAGUAAAAUUUAUCACGAUAUAUUUAAUUUUUUUAGCAAUUUUCGUUUAAAACAAAUUUAUAAAGUUUGGCAUUUUCGCCCUCCACUUUUAAAAUGAAGUUGAUAGCUAAGUAGAGAGAUGAAAAAAAAAAAAAGCGUAGGCGAAUAAUAGUUUGAUUAAAUUAAACCAAAUAGCAUUGUUUUUGGUUUUUUAAAAGCGGAAAUCCGUCCAACUAGGCGCCAAGUCACAGGUUUGACCGAAACAUCCGAGAAUGGAUAGAUAAACCAAUUGUGCAUUAAUAUUCCUCCCAAAGAACACUUGUGUUCAUGUACAUGUAUCCAUCCAUGUGUCGUUUAUCUCUCUAUCGCACAUAAAUCAGAUUAAAAUGUUCAUUUUAUUUUAAUUUUUAUGGACAGAUGGAGAUUAUAUAAACAGGUGUAUCUUAUAAUACUUAUUCAUUUUAGAUAUGAAAAAGUGUGAUAGUAAAUAAAUCAAUAAGUUCAAACAAAUGAAUAAAUAAGCUUAUUCAUUUGUAGUUUGUACUGCUUUUAUCACGAUAAUAUUAUUAUUUUGAUAUUUAUAUUUGUAGUUUCAUCGUCUUCGUUUUAUCAUUUCACAAUUUUUAAAAUAUCUACUAAAUAUAUUAUCUAUAUUUACUAGUUGAGUUAUUUGUGAAUUUAGAAUGUUCGUUUUCUAAGUGAAAAGUUGAAUUGAAUUCGAAAACCUAUAAAAAAAAUGUUAAAUAAAUUGAGUUAUCGUAAAUAUAUCGUUUAUUUGCUUUUACUAAUCUUUUAAAUAUUCGAUUGAAUUGUCUUACAUCUCACAUUGUGAUUUUUAAAAUUUAGAGCUUAGGCAUAUUGUGGGCAGUAUGUCCUAAACCCUAACUUUCCAUUUGACAAAAGUUAUAAUUAAACAAAGAAAAAUUGUUUUAAUAUAUUGCGUUUCUCAUACAUACAUCGAUUUAAAAAUAUAUUGUAAGUUCGUUUAUCAUACAACAAAUCGUAUUAUAUCUAGCUAACUCCGAUAAGAUAAGAUUGUUAUAGUUUCUAUUGUGUUUGAUUUCUAGCACACUGUUAUAGAAUCCUCCAAUAAUAUUGAACACAUAUGAAUGGCUAAAAAUGAUUUGAUUAGCUAACAACUUUUCCUAACCCAAACCCAACAUAUCUUUUACUUACGUAUCUGAACUAUUUCUCACCUACUCCCACUUUAAACAACUCACACCCAACACAAAAAUAUUCAAUGUCAAAAUACCAUAUGAUUCUUACGUGCAUACGUACACUCCCCACAAAAAUUUAAUUAAUUAAUCUAUUCUCUUAUAUAUAUAUAGUUGAUGGCUCAUAUGUAACCUUGAUUAUAGUUUAACUAGAAAAAAAUACAGAAACUCUAGAAAAAAAUGUUGGAAGUUUGAAAUUUCAUCUAUAUUUAUAGGCCUGGAUCAUAAUUUGGUUAGUAUCUUCACAUACAAUUUUCUUUUAUGAUCUAACCAUUAACCCUAACAAUUAUUGUUAGGUUAUGUAAUAAUAUUAUUUAAAUAACUGUUUUGAUCUUAAAUUGUAAGGAUGUAGAUAAUUUAGUUUCUAUACUUACCAAUUUGUAUAAAUUUAGUUUAAUCUUUAAUGUGUAGUAUUAUAACGAUCCUUUGUAGUUUAAAAGUGGUAAUGAUUUAAGUCCUAAACAAAGCUUCCUGCUUCUGUAACUAAAAUUGAGUGAAAAUCAAUUAAAUAUCAAUGAGUAUAUAGUUAAGUGAUUAAUAUCUAUAUUUCAUUUUGAUAAAAUAUUUCACCAUCAAAACUAAAAUACUAAUGUAUGACAUAUAAAAAAUAAAUGGUUACAAAUUUGCUAUUAAGAUGUAUACAUAAAGUGGACAAUAUCAUACUAUACACGGUAGAAAUAUUUAAAAAAUUUGUUGUCCUAAUACAACAUAUAUCAUUACAUCAUUGUCGUUUCAAUUAUGAAAGAAAAGUGUAUAAAAGUAUUGCUUACACAAUAAACUAUAUAUGACUUACACAAUCCAAAGGAAAGGAAAGAAAAAACAUGAAAUGCUUUUAAAAAUAGAUAUUUUCCAAUGAUACAAUUUUAAUUUUAAUUUGAGCAUAUUGUAGGUUUGAAUCUGUUCUCACUCUAAUGUUAUAACUUAUAGUCUAUCGAAAAAAAAAUUCAAAAAUUUGAAUAAAGCUAUUGAUCCAAGUAAAUUGAAUCAAGACUUGAUCAUAAAAAGCAACAUUCAUUCGCAAAUUAAUUUGCACACUGUAUGCUGAGACGUUCAUUCCACUUUCACCAUUGAGAUUUGAUUUUCGAAAAUUAAACUAAUAAUUUUUCGUUUUUUUUCUUUCAUUUUUAAUUUCUUUUUAUUUAAGAGUUUUGAUUUAUAAUAAUAAGUGGCUAAUAAAAUUACCCUCAUUAAUAUUAAUAUAUAGUCUAGAUCAUAUAUAUGUAUAUGAAUGUCACCUAAUCAGAUCAACUUGUCUAUCAACCUUAUUAAAUGUAAGUGUAGACUUAUUAGGAAGAAAAUUUCCAUUUUGUGAUGCCUCAAUUGGAAUUAAUUUUGACUAGGAUAAACUAUUAAAUUAUCUCCAAAAUUUUAUAUUACAUUAAUGAUAAACACCUAAUAGACAAUUUAUAUCCAUGUCUAUCAAUAUCAACUAUAAUGAUAUAUAAUUUUUUUUUAUAUUUUGUAAAUAUUUUGAUUUAUUUCGUUAUAUUUGAAAAUAUAUGUUAUCUUUUUCUUUCAAAAAUAUGGUUGAGGAUAUCACAAUCACAACAAAUAAAAAAUGUAUAUAUAAAUUUACGGUCAAAUUCUUACCUUGAUAACUCAUAUUUUGAUGGAAUCCAUAUAUAUUAAUUAACAACAUAACAUUUUAUUAAUUUCCUUGGGGAAAAAGAAUAGAAAAAGUAUUUGUGGGCACCAUUAUGUAAUUGGAGUUGAUAGGUAAAUUAAAUUGAGAAAGUAGGAAGAGGAAAUAAAAGUUGAGCUUAGAGUAGUUGGAAUGAAGCAAACAAAAAAAUCAGAGGUUUUUAAUGCAUAUAUUGGAAAAAUAGGUUUUAUUUUUCUAUUUGAUAUGAACAUAAAUAAUCAAUUCAAAUUAAAUUAAACAUUAAAUUAAAUCAUUUAUUGUAAUAGAUUAUUCCAAAAAGGAAGAACCAAUCUACCAUAAAGACAAAAAGAUUUAUAGUCUCUUAGGUUAACAUAAGAAAAAAAUAUUUUGUAAGAAACUUAUGUUUGUUUAAAUUUAUUUUUAAAAAUGCUUAAAAUAUAUUUAAAAAACUGUUUUUAGUAGCUUCCAAAUAAUAAUCUAAUUUUCUUCCAAAUAAUUUAUUUUUUAAAUUAAACAUUUGAAAGUUAGAAUGACUCCAACCUCAAUAAUUCACCUUUGGGUAUGUAAAUGAAUCUAGACCCUCUUAAAAUCUAAUUACAUUCUAUUUCUUUCAUUCACGAAUUUAUUUUAGAAAAAUAUAUCAAUUAUGUUUAAAAAUUUAUUAUAAAUAACAAAAAUAUUUAUAAAAUAUAAAUUUACAUUAUUUCUAUCCAUAUAACUUAUAAAUACUAAUAAUUUCCGGUAGAUUUGAGUUUUAUUAUAUUUUGUAAAAGAAAAAAAUUGUUCAUUUUGUUAUUUUAAAAAUGUUCCAUCAUAUUUCUUAGAUUAAAGUUAGAAUAUGUUACUAAGUUUUAAUUUGUAUUGAAAAGAUUAACAAUGUCUUAUAUUAGUAACUUUAAAUUUUGUUUAUAAUAUAUUAGUAAAUUCUUAAGAAACAUAAUAUAACGAAUUGUUUUGUAGCAUGAUUAAAAAGACUCAUUAUAUAUGUUUUAAAAUCCAAAAAACUAAAUUUGUAAUUUAUAGUCUAUAUUCAAGUUCUCAAAUUAUUAUUUAAAUAUUUCUAACACAAUUUAACAAAAAAAUAUAAUUUUGACACAUACAUGUUCAAGUGGUUAAUGCAUAGUAUAUGUAAGUUAUAAAUUGUGUAAACGAUAGCACGUAGAUUAAAUAGAAUAAGAUAUAGAUGCUUUUUACAUAUUCAGACUAAGAACUUAUUUGUCUGGUUGAAUUAUGGUCUCAUUCACGUAGUAUACAUUACAAAAGGAAAGGAAUUUGAGAAGAGAAGUGAUUCAAAAAGAAGAAAAAAGGAAAAUGAAAAGAACAAAAGAAAAAAGAAAAAGUAUAGAUAGGAAGUAUUUGAAUAGGAACCCAGUGGUCGCCCACAGAAAAACGUAGGAGUAAACGCCAAGGCCAUGCAAAUUGUGUAACAGUGAAAGCAACCCUACAAAAUGGACCAUCGCUCCCAUUCUCAAAGCUUAAAAAUUAGAUGAAGAAUAAGUCAAGCCGCCGGUCCCACUCCAUCAACCCCUCCUCCUAAUUCCAACACUAAUUCACCAAAUUAUAUUUUCAAUUUAAUUAUUUCUUUCUCUUUCUAGCUAAUUACUUUUUAUAUUACACCAAUUAUUAACAUCAUUUUGAGAUUUGAGUAACUUUAAUUAUAUAAAUUUAUUUACAUAUCUAACUAGUAACACUGUUGGUGUAUGUAAGAUUAAUUUAACUAUAUAUGUGUUUAUUAUCAGCUUAAGCAACCCUGAUGAACAAAAAUAUCUCACAUCUUUAAUGUCAGAUAUACACACAUAUAUGUAUAUAUUGAAAAGGUAAAAUCCUUGGUGGAAGGUUAUAUAAAAUUAGUCCAAACAUGAUGACAACACAUAAUAUUAUUUUAACUAUCUUGUCAUCUACCGACAAUAAUAUGUGUGCAUGUCUAUAUGAUUUCAUGGUUUUUAAUUAAAAAAAAAUUAGGUGGAGUAAUUAAAUUAGAUUUCACCGGUGAUCAUUAUGUUAAGACUUGAGAGGGGGGUUUGAGUGAGUGAAGUGGGUAAAAGGACAAAGCUAUAUAAAGGGAGGAAAGGCAGUGUUAAAAACCCACCAAUCCAUUCAAGGAUGGGAAAAAUGGGAUCUUCAAUGGCUCCUAUUCUUUUUGCUGCCUUUGUUGCUCUCCUUUCCCUAACUCUGCCGUCCACUACCAAUGCUAAUUAUAUCUACGCUUCUCCUCCUCCACCUAAGAAGGUAUAUUACCCGCCUCCAGUAUACCAUUCUCCUCCACCACCCAAGAAAUCAUACUAUCCACUCCAGUGUAUCACUCUCCACCACCACCCAAGAAGGUUUACUAUCCACCACCAGUUUACUCUCCACCACCACCAAAGAAGGUGUAUUACCCACCUCCUGUCUACAAGUCUCCUCCGCCACCCAAGAAGGUUUAUUACCCACCUCCCGUCUACAAGUCUCCUCCGCCACCUAAGAAGGUGUACCCACCUCCCGUCUACAAGUCUCCCCCGCCCCAAGAAGGUGUACUACCCACCUCCCGUCUACAAGUCUCCCCCACCUCCCAAGAAGGUGUACUACCCACCUCCGUCUACAAGUCUCCCCCACCUCCCAAGAAGGUAUACUACCUCCUCCCGUCUAUAAGUCUCCUCCACCACCAAAGAAGGUAUACUACCCACCUCCAGUCUACAAGUCUCCCCCACCUCCCAAGAAGGUAUACUAUCCACCACGUCUAUAAGUCUCCUCCACCACCAAAGAAAGUAUACUACCCACCACCAGUCUACUCACCACCACCGCCAAAGAAGGUAUACUACCCACCUCCCGUCUACUCACCACCACCACCGAAGAAGGUGUACUACCCACCUCCCGUCUACUCACCACCACCACCGAAGAAGGUGUACUACCCACCUCCCGUCUACUCACCACCACCACCGAAGAAGUAUACUACCCACCCCCGUCUACUCACCACCACCACCGAAGAAGGUAUACUACCCACCACCCGUCUACUCUCCACCACCACCGAAGAAGGUAUACUACCCACCACCCGUCUACUCUCCACCACCACCGAAGAAGGUAUACUACCACCACCCGUCUACUCUCCACCACCACCGAAGAAGGUAUACUACCCUCCUCCCGUCUACUCUCCACCACCACCAAAGAAAGUAUACUAUCCACCUCCCGUCUACUCUCCACCACCACCAGUAUACCACUCCCCCACCUCCGGUCUAUCAUUCUCCACCACCACCAGUAUACCAUUCCCCACCACCUCCCGUUUAUUACUACUCAUCGCCACCGCCACCUCCACACUACUAGGAAUUAAAUGUCCUAGGUCAAGGUAAUUUUAAAUCUCCCACCAAAUUGCGUUGUCUUUUCUCCACGUAUAUAACAGUAAACAUAACUAAUAAUAUAUGUUACUUUCAAAGGACAGAGAAAUGUGGAUGAAAAUGAAAACAAACAAAUAAUAAUUCUGUGGAUUUUUAACAUCAUAAAAAUUUGGUUGGCCGUCACUAAAAUUUGGACUACUGUUUAUGAUUUAUAUCCAAAAUUCAGUGGUAGGGACCCCAAUAGAUAGAGAAAAUUCAAAAAUAAAAAACAAAAACUUGGGUCCAAAUAAUUAAUUUUGGUUAAUUUGUUGUGUUGUG